CUCAGAAUGGUUGCCCUCCUAGAUUACACAGUUUUGUUCAAUUACCUAAGAGGCUAAGACAUAUCAUUGAAGUUCUUAAAUCCUGCCUUUAGGGCGACAGGAGAUUAUCGAUGGGCUUCACUAGCAUUUUCGACAAUUGUUGUGUUGAGUACUGAUGCAUAUUGCAUAUCAAGUAGCAAUGCUUGAAACAGACACCUUGUCUGCCCGAGCUGUACUUGCUGUAACAGUCAGAUAAACGACACUUGUGAAUCUCCUCUUCACUGUCUCCUCGUAUAAGCUGUCUCAACUUUUGAGUUUCACCAACCUCUAUAAUUGUGGUAGAACUUCAUAAGAAAUUUCAAUUUCCAAAACUUUUCCACUUUUCACAGGAAAAGAAAUGCUGAGUUCAUGCUGUCAUCAAUUUGGUUCGCACAUUAACAUAGCUAUUUUAGAUCUUGAUGCUUUGUUUUGGCUUGGAACUUUUUGAUACUUGAAUAAGCAUGUAUUGAUAUAUAGCAUACUAGUACUAUAUCUACCACUUCCUUCUGCACCUAAACAUGUUUUCGUGGACACUGAUAUGAACUGUAUGAAUGAAUACUGCAGGAGAUGAAGUGAAGGGUGAAGCAUGAAUGUUGGCAUUUUCAACACAGUGACAGCUUAAAUUUGAGAAAGUGUGUGGGGAUAUGGCAAUUGGUAAAAUUAAAAGUAAUGAGAAGGCUGACUGUGCAACUUUCAAGCAACUAAAGUACAUUUUUGGGAAAAAGAUUGAUAAGUUGAAUGCUAACUGUCUGGUAAAAUAUUUCCACUUAAAGUCUCCAUGCUGCAAUUGUAACAACUGCCACAAUAAGGUCUCUUUAUACUAAAAGUAAUCUGCUGCUUGAUCAUCUCAAGACAUUAUGUCCCCUGUAGAUAUAUGUCCAUUUUGAAGAUCUAUUAGAAUUUUCGUCAAUUUCUUCAUUGGCCUCCUUCCUCUUGUUUUGCACCUCUAUCCCAGGUUCAAAUAUUUUGUACUUGGCAUGAAGCAUCAUUGGUAUUGAUUUUCCAAAUUUGUCAUGCUAGUGCUAGUAUGAACACCUAGAGGGGGUGAAUAGGUGUAUAAAAUAAAUCUUGGCAAGUAUAUGCGGAAUAAAAUAAACUUCAAACAAAGGAGUUAGGGAAGAGAAUAAGAACACAGAAAUUAUAGUGGUUCGGCUUAAUCCAAGCCUACGUUCACUCUCCCACGCUAACAGCCUUCUUGGCUAGAUUCUACUAUGCAAUCAACAAGAAAUUACAACUUCGAGUGCAAACACUUAGUAGACCACACUAUCUCACUAAGUCACUCUUUUGGUAUUUCUCUCACGAUCACAAACGUUUAAGCUCUCAAGAGACAAGUGAAGAUCGCUCAGACUUUGGAAUUAUAAAUUCUACGCUCCGUCUCUUACUUGCUCAUCGGUCCAUGAUCUCCUUAAAUACUCCUCCACUUCCAAACUAGCCGUUGGACAGCAUCCCGGAGAAUCGUCUUCCAAUAUACCCAUUGGACAGCUCUGUAUCUAGAAGAUUUGGUAGCCGUUGAGUGACAAAGGUAGAAUCCCAAAUUGAUUCCAAUCGCCCAUACAAACGAAAUCUUGGUUUCCAUAAGUAAAGCUUCUUCGUAUAGAAAGUUCUUGUCUUCAACAUCCAAUUGUCAAUCAAUUAGAUUGAAUCAAUCAAAUCAAUCUUGAUGUGGAAUCCAAACCAGAUCACUAGCCGUUAUAUGAUUGAGCUUGAGUUACGUUCUGUCGAGUCUGGAUGUAAAGUCUGAGAGCAAUAGACUUUACAAUCUGAGUCUAUAGACUUUACAAUCUGGGUCUGAACAUAUCUGCUUCUGAACAGAUUUAGCUUUAAGGUCUGUACCCAGUUUAGCUUCAGCAUAGAGUCUGUCUUCUGGUUCAUCAUUCACGUUCAGUCUGGAAUUAGUCAGAGUGAGCAGACUUCUGAUGUAGAACAGACUUUAACACUAAAGUCUGGCAAUCUUCAGACUUUGAGUCUUGAGUCUGGCAAUCUUCAUACUUUGAUACAGAAGUCUGGAAAUCUUCAAAAUAUACUCUAGACAUAUGUUACGUUCAGUCUUCUGGCCGUCUUCUGACUUUGAUAAUAUCCUCUACAUGUUCUAACAUCUGCAUGGUCUAUUACUCAACCAUUAAACAUGUUAGUAGCCUUUGAUUUAUUUUGUUAUCUUCAAAAUAUCAUAAGGGAUUUCCCUAACAAUCUCCCCAUUUUUUAUGAUGACAAAACAAUAUCUGAAUAUGCAGAUUUGUAAACACGCUUUUAAAAAUAUUAAUUUAAAUCAAAGGAUAUCAGAAGAUAACAAAUAGAUUGAGCAUAAUAAUAUAUAGAAAAUAAUCGAAGCUCAAUAUUAUGCAAUAAAUAAUAUCAACUAAUCAGCACAUAUGCAUAUUCAUAUCUUCUCCCCCUUUUUGUCAUAAUCAAAAAGCGAUAAUAAUGGAUUCACGUAGAGAAUGAUAACAAAUAUCUUGCAUGAAUCACAAUUUCCAAAAAUCAGCUUUUAUCGAAUAUUAAAGAUAUGCAAUAUAAUCUUUACCAAAAAAAAAAAGAAAAAGAUAUGCAAUAUAGCUCACUUCGAUUAUAUCAGCAAAUAUCCAAUAAAAAUUACGGAUGCAUCAUAAAAUUUACGUACCAUUUUUGUCAUAAUAAAAUGAUAAUAUCAAUAAGAGAUUUGUUAAUGACAAAAUGUAAUAAAAGAUGCACUAACCGGAUUUUUUAGAAUAAAUUCUGACACAUUUACCUUGCUUCCAUCCAUAAUAAGAUCACGAUCAAUCCAAAAAGAUUUUUCCAUAAUUGAUCAAUGCUCCCCCUCAAUUUGUUGCCUUUUUGAGAUGAUCACGAUUUUUUUCCUUUUCUUUUGGAUUUGAUUUCUCCCCCUGUCAUCAUGACAACAUUUGCGAAUAGAAACAAUUGUUGCUUGUGCACAUUGAACAGAAUAUUUUUCCAUUAUUCCCUUUGUAGCAACAAUAUCCGCAAUGAUCAUUUGCAUUUUGAAAUUCGAGGCAAAAUUUUAUUUUCUUCAAUCAAGCUCGUCUCGAAUUCAAUCUGCAUCAACUUAACAAACUUUUUCCACAAAUAAUAUCCACGUGAUAUAUAAUACCCUUUUCUUCAAAUAGAUAAAAUUGAAUAGCAUAUAUAAAAUUAUCAAAUAUUAAAAUUCAGAACUAUUCAACCUUUUGUACGAUGCAUAAGGGAUUUCCUCAACAAUUUGCAAAAAUUUUGCAUAAGGAAUAAAAUCUUUGAACCUCUAGAAGAUAGUAUAGAAUCUCCAUGAUUUUCUGAUUGAGUUUUCCAAAAUCCAUAUGGAAGAUUCUUUGUGACCUGCAAAUUCUUAUAUAACAGAUAAUAAUCUUUGCAAAAAUGUCACGUAAUAUCUUCCUUUGAUUUGCAGAUCAAACUUGCUAGAUAUAGUAUAUAUUCUAAGAAUAUAGCAAGAAUAUCCAUGAAUAUGUAGUAAUAUCUUUCAAGAUCAAAGAGAUUUCCUUGAGCAUAAAUUUCAAAUAUGCAUUUUGCAAAAGGAAAAUAGAUAUUUCUGUCACGUGCCAAAAUUGCAAUACCUUAUAAAUAUAACAAAAGAUAUUCGCAAUAAAUAAUCAUCCAAAAUCAUGAUAAAUGCACGUACAAAUUUGCAAGGCGGGAAAUUUUUUUUCUCUUACCCAGGUAUAUGUUUCAAAUAUACCUUUGCUUAAAAAAAAUCAUUACCAAUCUUCGUAGGAGAUAUUUUCAGAUUGUACUAAAAUCUGCGUAGAUUCACGAUCGCUUUUCCCUUAUAGAAUUUCCUGCAAUCAACUCAUUUCCUUUUUGGUAUCCAUCAAUUUGGAUCAUUCCUUGACGUUAGAAUAAAAUAGAAAAUCUCCAUAAUCAAAUAUUCUUUCUUAAUUCAUCGUAACAAAGUAUUCAAAGAAAGAAUAUUAUGCACAAUGAUAUUUUGAAAAAUAAAUUCUCACUUAGUCAUGGUAUGAUAAAAAUAGAGAGAAUAAAAUUCCUUGAGUAUCUAAAAAUAUCUUGCAUCAUCACGUAAAACAGAUUUUUACUUUGCAAAAUAUGAUUAAAUCUGAAGUAUAAAAUUAGACAAAAUAAUUUGAAUUAUCUCAAAUAAUCACACGUACUUUCUUCAAUAAAUAUGAUCAUUAUAAAAUCUCAAUCAACCAAGGAUAUAUCGAAUAUCAAGUAUAAUGAGAAUUAUUGCCAAAAUCAAAUUGAGAAUAAAAAAUUCCUUACCAAAUCAUCUUUCUUCUUUCUUCUUUAUAUCCUGCAAAAGUAACUUAUCUUUUCUUUGGUACCCAUUUUUUCUUGGGUCCAUGAGAGUUAGCAGAAUAUGCUGCUUUUAUCCAAUUUUUCUUAAUAGGUCUCCAGACUUUAGGACAAUCUUUCUCAAAGUGUUUUGAAUCUCCACAAUUUGAACAUUUGACGUUAUUUCCACCAACAGGUUUUACAAACACUUUUUGAAAAUGAUUUUUGUAAAAUGCCUUUGAAGGUUUUUGUCUAAGUCUCUCUUUUACUUUAUGAAAAUCAAUUAAAGCAUUAUUUUCCUUAUUGAAACCAAGUCUUGACUUAUUAUAGUAAGGAACUUGUUUAGAAAGAAUAUGCUCUAAUGUUUUUGAUCCAUUUGAAAAUCUUGUCGAAAUAUUUGAAAAUUCUUUCUUCAAAGAAUCAUUUUCUUUAACAAGCAAAUCUCAAUUUUCUUUUAUUUGUAGAAAAUCUUUUUGCAAAAUUUCAAAUUUUUCUUUUUGAGAAAGAUCUUUUUGCCUAAGCCGAGAAUUCUCCUUUUUAAGUUCGAAAAUCCUUUUAAGAGAAGAUUUGAGAUUUGAACAAAGCUCAUUUAUAUAUUUUGAAACUUUGAAAGGAAUUGCUGAAUGACUUACCUUGAUUUUCUCAUCGGAUUCUGAGUCUGGUUCUGAAUCAGACUCUGAUUCUGAGUCUGUGUCUGAGUCAGACUCAGAUUCUGAAUGUGCCAUCAAGCAUAGAUUUCCUUGCUCAUCAUCUUCUUUUAUUAUUCUUUUCUGGCUAUUCUGCUUGUAUUUUCUUCUUCCACUGAAUUUGCUUCAUUUUCUACUCAACUUUUUGAAUUUCUCAAUCAUAAAAGCAAGUUCUUCAUUGUCUAUGUCAUUUUCUGAGUCUGUUUCAUCAAAAACAGCAUUAGAUAUUAAAGCAAUGGACUUCUUACCUUCGGGAUCUUCGUCGUUGAAUUGUUCCACUUCAUAGGAUUGAAGAGUACCAAUCAAUUCAUCAACGGAGAGUGGCAUAAUCCUCUGAGUUUCCUGGAUUGAGGUCUUGACAUGGUUCCAAUCUUUUGAGAGACCUCGCAAGAGUUUGUUGACCUUCAUUGGGGAAGAAAUUGGAUGAUCUUGAUAUGCCAAACCGUUUACAAUUUCUGUAAAACGAUCGAACAUAUCUCCAAUCGACUCUCCUUGCUUCAUCUUGAAGGAUUCGUACUUACCGAGCAAGAAGUUUACUUUUGUCUCUUUUACACGAUCGGUCCCUUCAUAUGUAACAUGAAGUUUAUCCCAAACUUCUUUUGCUAUUUCACAUGAAGAGAUUCUGUUAUAUUCAGCAGGAGACAAGGCGCAAUAUAAAGAAUAAAUUGCUUUUGCAUCAAGCGCUUCUCUUUUGGACAUCUCCGUCCGAGACAUAAGAGCGGGGAGUUUGGUUUCUUUGUCUUUGCCAUUCUUAUUUGAUGUAGACACAGCAAUGGGGUUGAUUCCUCUUUCCACAACAUCCCAUUGCAAGGGAUCUCUGGAUCUUAGGAAUGCUUUCAUUUUUUUUUCCACACGUCGUAUUCCUUUCCAUCAAAAUAUGGUGGCCUUGUGUUGCUUUGCCCUUCCAUAAGUCCUGGUGCCAACAUACUAGCCAUAAAGAAUCUUUAGCUCAAAAGUAAAAACACUUUUAUAAACCGAGCACUUGGCUCUGAUACCAAUUGAGAGUGCUAGUAUGAACACCUAGAGGGGGUGAAUAGGUGUAUAAAAUAAAUCUUGGCAAGUAUGUGCGGAAUAAAAUAAACUUCAAACAAAGGAGUUAGGGAAGAGAAUAAGAACACCGAAAUUAUAGUGGUUCGGCUUAAUCCAAGCCUACGUCCACUCUCCAACGCUAAUAGCCUUCUUGGCUGGAUUCCACUAUGCAAUCAACAAGAGAUUACAACUUCGAGUGCAAACACUUAGUAGACCACACUAUCUCACUAAGUCACUCUUUCGGUAUUUCUCUCACGAUCACAAACGUUUAAGCUCUCAAGAGACAAGUGAAGAUCGCUUAGACUUUGGAAUUAUAAAUUCUACGCUUCGUCUCUUACUUGCUCAUCGGUCCAUGAUCUCCUUAAAUACUCCUCCACUUCCAAACUAGCCGUUGGACAGCAUCCUGGAGAAUCGUCUUCCAAUAUACCCAUUGGACAGCUCUGUAUCUAGAAGAUUUGGUAGCCGUUGAGUGACAAAGGUAGAAUCCCAAAUUGAUUUCGAUCGCCCAUACAAACGAAAUCUUGGUUUCCAUAAGUAAAGCUUCUUCGUAUAGAAAGUUCUUGUCUUCAACAUCCAAUUGUCAAUCAAUUAGAUUGAAUCAAUCAAAUCAAUCUUGAUGUGGAAUCCAAACCAGAUCACUAGCCGUUAUAUGAUUGGGCUUAACUUACGUUCUGUCGAGUCUGGAUGUAAAGUCUGAGAGCAAUAGACUUUACAAUCUGAGUCUGUAGACUUUACAAUCUGGGUCUAAACAUAUCUGGUGCUGAACAGAUUUAGCUUUAAGGUCUGUACCCAGUUCAGCUUCAGCAUAUAGUCUGUCUUUUGGUUCAUCAUUCACGUUCAGUCUGGAAUUAGUCAAAGUGAGCAGACUUCUGAUGUAGAACAGACUUUGACACUAAAGUCUGGCAGUCUUCAGACUUUGAGUCUUGAGUCUGGCAAUCUUCAGACUUUGACACAGAAGUCUGGAAAUCUUCAAAAUAUACUCUGGACAUAUGUUAUGUUCAGUCUUCUGGUCGUCUUCUGACUUUGAUAAUAUCCUCUACAUGUUCUAACAUCUGCAUGGUCUAUUACUCAACCAUCAAACAUGUUAGUAGCCUUUGAUUUAUUUUGUCAUCUUCAAAACAUCAUAAGAGAUUUCCCUAACAUCAUGGAUAUACGAUAACAAAUAUAUUUACUUUUAUUUAAUCAUCAAAAGUUAUGAAGUUGAAACGAACCCUAUUGCAAGCUUAAUCUGUCUCUUUCCUAAAUCAUUAUUUGAGCUUGACGUGAUCAUGGCUGGGUAAACAGUCUAAUGGGUGUAUGCAUUGGUUCAUGUCCCCUCUUGUAAUUAUGUCCCAGAAGAUAGAUCACUUCUAAAAGUUAUUACAGUUAUAGUGACCCACCCCAACUUCUAAAAGUUAUGAAGCUAUGGCAGCAUCUCGUAUAAGUUCUCACGGAAUUGUUUAUACGGUUGUGCAGGCCAUUGAUUAGAGGACUCGGAUGUUUCUCUUCAAGAUGCUCAACCGUUAAUUAUUUAAUGAUAUAAAUGGUUGCAUCUACACUGGCUAGAACUGUGUUAUCAUCUACAGUGAGCAGUACUCGCUGCUUUCUUUUUUCUAUCAAUUGAAUGUGGGCAGAACUUCAUCACAUCAUUGUUAUAAUUUCACGACUUUACUUGUGAUUUGUUCAUAUUUUUGCCAGUAGAGUGCAUGGUCUCUUGAGCCUAUUGUCACUCUGACUUUUGUAAAUGUCUAUCAUGCAUAAAAAUCUGACAGGCAAGAACUGGCAAUCAAAGUUUACAAGACUUCAGUGCUCGUGUUCAAGUAGGUGUGAUAGUCUUAAGUUUUUUGCAAGGCCCCUCCACAGGUGUUUGAAAGUGCAGUACUGCAUUUACUACAUUUUUGUGACUUUAUUCUUUCUAGAUUAAUGAUUAAUAUACAGGUUCUUUUUUUUCUGAUAGCAAUCACUGCUAGAUUGUGGGGAAUGUUGACAUAUUUUGUCUGAUACUUUUUGUUUCUUAGGAGCUACUAUUAGUUGUUUUUCUUUAUUAUUUGGCUAAAAGGAGCUAUUCUUAGUUUGCAAUGUGAUUUAUCUUCAAUUCUACAAUGUGUGGUGUUUUGUGGAUUUAGUUUAUGGUAGUUUUCAUUUUUCUUUUCCCUGUGUUCGUUAUUGUAUGAUUUUUCUUCCAUUGUGGGAUGAGGCCAUGGACACAGCCUCAACAAUGUAAAAGAGUUAUGAAUAUGAGAUCUCAGGCCUGCUCUGUGCCAAGAAAAAAAUUCUCAACGAUAUCUGCCUAACCAAUUUCUGUUCUUUCUUACAUCUCGCUCUGCUCCAAAAUAAUGGGCUCUCUUGAUGCUUUUUACCUCAGUAGUAAGGAUCUUUAAUUCUUCUGGAUUAAAGCCUAUCUUGUCGAGUCAUUGAAGUUGUUCUUCUGCUACCAAACAUUCUUAAUAUUAUGCUUUCUCUUUCAAUAUUAUAUACCGAAGACAACAGACUAGGUGAAAAAUGUGGAAUAAGAUGUGAUUCAGAUUACUAGUGGGAAGCACAUCGGAGACAUGUGCUACAUGACUAUUGCCUGGUUAUAAGGCUCUCAUGAAGGACACUAAUGCUAUAGAAAAGCUUACCAAUCUUGGCGAAAAUUCUAAAGCUUGCUGUAGUGAGUCUAAGUCUGAUACAGAUGUAGAUGAAGAUUCAGAAGGAAAUGAGUCGGCUUCCCAAACUAAGGUGCAGGCUUCUGUUGAGAGGAAGGCUGCUAGAAGGAAAACAAAAAGAAAAACAAAGUCCCCAAGGCAGUGAAGAAAAGAAGGGAGAAGUUGGCCAAAGCCCACAAGACUAGGUAGUCAUUGCUAGCUUGGUAUUAAUUUACAUGUUUUUUGGCAUUAAUUGAUAGAGAGAGUGAGUCGCUUGUUGGAUAAAUUUAAUUUACCAUAUGUGGAGAUGGCUUUGUACUUUUCAGCAGCGGCCCAGUUUUAGCUGAGAGCAAAGUGAGAGGGAUGAGUUUAUGCUGUCUUGUUUUGUAUUAGGGUACCGUUAUUAGAUGACGUCGGUAUAUGAUUCCAAGGUAAAUUGUAUAGCAGCUUCUGUUUUUCCCCCCUUUUCGGCUAGUUAUUACAAGGAAGGAGGUCUCAGUAGGAGUUGGCUAUGACCUAAUUAAGUCUUGUUUCCGGUCCUCUAUCGACGGUUAGGUACCUUCUGUGAUUUUAUUAUAUUGGUUUCAAACACUUUCGGGGGUGAGAAAAUGAAUAGAUUCUAUGAGUUUGAUUGAGAAGACUUGGCUGGCCUAGUUUGGCAUUGCUAUAUCAUGAGAUUAAAGGCCUAUUGCUUUACUGAGGUGAGGGUCAAAGACCAGGAGUUGAUGAAGCGUUGUUUUGGGACACCGAUACCAAUUGCAUUUUGUUCUUUCUUGUGUUACCCAACCCCGAUGACUGUUUAGGCGGGGAUCAAAGACUGGCUAUGCUUUCAAAAGACAGACGCCAUGCCUAAAUCAGUAUUAACAAAGCAUCUAUGCUUCUAAUCUCUUGUUUUCAGCAAUUAGGCAUCGUGUAAUGGCUAGCGGAGAAAGUCCAUUGUCCCUCGGGAACGAGUCUCGUAGCGAUGAAUCUCAUUGUGUUUUGAGAACUUUUUAAGUGUUUGCUUGCGACAAGAUAUGCUGGGAGAAUGGUCCUUGAGAGGAUAUAAUAGGCCCUGGGGUGCCUAUGUAUAAUUAUCACGAAUUUGGUUGUUAUUGCAAUUGUAGUUAUAAUAGCCAUAAAUCCAUGCAAUAUAGAACAAAAGGAUAACCACUACACUUUGAUAGCUGUGAGACCUAUCAAAAGGGCGGUCGGUUUCAAUACAAGUCCAACCUACUUGACCCAUUUUUAUUAUAUAAUACAAUUUGAUCGGCCCAUACUUGAUUCGACAUGGACCAAACUCAUCUAGACUAUUGUGACUCAAGUUUUUAGCAAAAUUUCCCCUUAAAUAUAGAAAAUAGCAUCUUAAAAAAAACUAACAAUUAAAACAAAUUAGACAUGCAAAAAUUAGCAAAUAAUAAAUUACUAAAACAAUUGAACGGAUUCAGCUACUAGAACACUUCUCCUAUUAUUUCUCCUAGUGCUAUAAAUUUGAUCUAAUUUAGCAUAAGAGACCAUGUCUAAAAAGAUAUAUAUGAUGUAAACUUCUACUAUUGGAAAUACUAAAAUAUCUAAAAAUACUUAAAAAUUUAAAUAUAUUCAGAUCCAUCUAGAUUUGAAGUGGCCAAUGAAUUCUUUCCAUUUUAGUUGUUUACUAAAAACUAGUUUAGGGAUGAUUUAAGCAAUUAUCAAUCUUUCGAGGUGUCUAUUAAUGCUAGAUGAUCAUGUGCUGCUAGAAAUUUUGUGUGAUAUCUUUCCACGAUUUCUUAAAUUUGAGUUUUAUUCGAUCUUUAUAUAUGGAAAUAUUAGAGUUUCAUAAUUAUCUAUAUAACCUGUGAAGAUUGACCCAAAAAUAUUCAAGAGACUACAAAAACAAGUUAUUAAAAUAAAAAAUAUCCAUUACAAAUGACGUACAAAGAGAUUGAUAUCCAAAUACUAUAUGAUUGCAUAAGUUUUAAAGAUCCAACUGAACUUCAGAAAUAGGCGCAUCGUUGAAUAGUUGAACAAUCUCUCGAAAACGGUCUGAAUGUCGAGCGAGCACGCAUGCCAAAGCAAACACUAGCAAGCUCAUAUUGACGAUCAACCAGAUGAACAGAGACAGGCUCAUCCAGAGAAGCAACUCGGAACCGAUAAUUCCAAAAACGAUGUAGAAACACCGGUAUAUUGGGUUUGAACUCGCCGGUUCAGUCACUUUGAUCAGUGCUAUAAGAUAAAUGACUUCGCAAAGGAUGUAAAACUGCAGAUUCAUGUGGCUCAGUAUUCUCACAUGCUGUGAAUUGAAAUGUGUGAUGACGAGCAGCUUGAACGAAGUGAAUAGUAUAUGAAAUCUCUUGGUUGAGUCAAAACUUUCCUGCGGUUGCUGUUGUUCCAAUUGCUCAUCGUCUCUGUACCGGAUUAGGAAUAAAAUAAUUGGAAGAAAAUGGAUUCAAAAGAAAAAAAAAUCCUAGCUUCUUAGUUUGUGCUCCAAGUAGAGUUUUUAAUAGCAUAAAGACACGAAUGAAUUACGUACCUCUGGAGCGUCGCUGUAUGAUCCGCCAUGUUCCAGAGAAGCUGCAGCUCCUUGCACUCUGCGAUUGUUGGCGAGUAUGUGUGAAGGAGUAGGCGGAACAAGCUCUUCGUUGCACAAUAUAUAGGGUCAUUUGCUCUGCAUUAUUUAUUGUUUUUUCUGAUUGAGACAGACUUGACUUUUGAAAUUAUCCAUCACAUUUAACCGUUAGAUCUCCUGGAGAGUUAGAUCACUUCUCGAGAUGGUGGGGAGAGGCGGUGAUACUAGGGCUAAGCUCUCAACUGCCUGCACCUAUUCAUUAUCUUCCUUUUUAUUUUUUAAUNNNNNNNNNNNNNNNNNNNNNNNNNNNNNNNNNNNNNNNNNNNNNNNNNNNNNNNNNNNNNNNNNNNNNNNNNNNNNNNNNNNNNNNNNNNNNNNNNNNNNNNNNNNNNNNNNNNNNNNNNNNNNNNNNNNNNNNNNNNNNNNNNNNNNNNNNNNNNNNNNNNNNNNNNNNNNNNNNNNNNNNNNNNNNNNNNNNNNNNNNNNNNNNNNNNNNNNNNNNNNNNNNNNNNNNNNNNNNNNNNNNNNNNNNNNNNNNNNNNNNNNNNNNNNNNNNNNNNNNNNNNNNNNNNNNNNNNNNNNNNNNNNNNNNNNNNNNNNNNNNNNNNNNNNNNNNNNNNNNNNNNNNNNNNNNNNNNNNNNNNNNNNNNNNNNNNNNNNNNNNNNNNNNNNNNNNNNNNNNNNNNNNNNNNNNNNNNNNNNNNNNNNNNNNNNNNNNNNNNNNNNNNNNNNNNNNNNNNNNNNNNNNNNNNNNNNNNNNNNNNNNNNNNNNNNNNNNNNNNNNNNNNNNNNNNNNNNNNNNNNNNNNNNNNNNNNNNNNNNNNNNNNNNNNNNNNNNNNNNNNNNNNNNNNNNNNGAUUUGGCUACGAAGCACUGUAGUAAAGUUGUCUUCGACGGCUGAUCUAACUCUCCAGGAGAUCCAACGGUGCUUUUUAAUGUCUUUUUUCAAAAGAACUUUUUUGGGGUCCUUAAGCCGUGUCAUGCAUUCAAGGUUGCCACCGUGGUCAACCGCCAAAAAUCGGAAGAGAGCGACGAAACUUCCGUUUACAAUGUGUAUGCGCAGCCAACAUUCGAAACCGUGUACAAGAGCUAAUGCAAAGCCGGGAUUAAGCAACGACAUGAUCGUCCAAACAAUCUUGACACUACGCUUGGAAGUGCCCUUUUCAUUUAAUUUCCUUUUUGUUGAUUAGAAAGGACAUUAGAUUAAAAGGGCGUAUGAAUAACUAAUAGUAAUUAGCACGCGACUAUUUCAUAAAUCUAAUGGGCAUAUAGAAGUUCAGCAACAAUAGAAAGUACCGUUGUUUGGAGCAUCUCCCGAAUUAUUCUCGGAAAGGAUUGGAUUUGGGAUAAAAACAUGAAGUUGCGUGGCAUGCUUGUUGUAAUCUAUUUCGAUUCACUCGCCUUGAAUUAUUGUAAAUGUUUGUUUAAGGUGUGUUUAUAUAGGCUUAUACUCCUUACUUUUUCCUUAAUCCACGUCUUACGAUGGACAUGUAUUGACUUUCUACUCACCUGUGACUUAAAAAUUUCAUGAUACACAAAUUUGGACACAUUAAUCCAUUUAUAUAUAUUCAUAAUUUUCUGAAAUUUAGAUAGUAUUUUGAAUUUUGCCAUUUUUUUUCCAUUUGUUAAAGCAUACUCAAACAUGCCCUUAGUCUGACAAAGCAAUGUACCAAACGGUGUACAAGCACUCAUUUGCACAUCCUCUCACCCUGACAAUCAGAUCCACGGUUGAGAGAACGUGCAUGCUCUUUCGAACAUUCUCUCAAACGUCGAUUUGAGGAUGUGCGCUCCUACCCGUCGAUCAAAUAGAUGGUUGAGGAUGUGCGCUCCUACCCGGGAACGCGUAGUCGCUUUGGGUCGCUCAGCCGCUGCAAUGGCCUCAGUACAGUUGAGCGCGUUGCUCCCGCAGCAAGAGCUCCAUCCCUUCGAGUCCAUCCCCGUUCAUCGCCCCCCUUCGCGUCCCUAUUCAGGUAGCUUUCUCUCCUUGUACAUUCACAUUGUAAUUAGCCUCAUAGAGCUUUUUUCUUUUUGAUUCUUGAUAUUUGCUAUGAAGCACUAACACUCUUCGGGAAUCUUUGUAUUAUGUCAGACACUCUUCGAUGCUCGGUCAAUAUGUGUAGAAAAAUCUGACACCUAGUCAACUCUCCUAACACUCUCCAACACUCGAGUUCGGAAUUCCGACACACAAAUUUGUAAUUCCAACAUGAACAUGGUUAAUUUUAAAGAUUUUCAAUAAAUAAGAGGUCAAGAUAUAAAUAUGUAAAAAAUAAUAAAUAAUAAAUAAGGGAAGAAGAAAAACAUAAUCUUCUCUUUUCUUCUGACCCUCACUUCUUGAGACACACAAUUCACCGCUCAAGUUUGUUUUUUUCUCUUAUCUUCCAACAAACGCUGACGCGUGAGUGUAGAAUGUGGAUUGCUUGUUUCUUUUGUCCUUCAAGUUUUAUGGAUUAUUGGAAUUGAAAUGAAUUUGUCAAAUUGAAAUAAUGAAUGAUAUUAACAAAUAGUGAAUUAAUAUUUUUAGUGUAAAUUUAUUAUAGGCCCUUUUCUAUUAUUUAUUUAUUUAUUUAUUUAUUUGUGAAUUUGAGUCAAAUUAAUUCGAUCAAAAUAAUCAUAAAGAUAAUAAUUUAUCAUGUAUGUAUAAAAAUAUACAUUUAAUAUACAACAUGUGUCAACUUGUUAGAAUUUUUUAUUUUUUGGGAAAUGACGUGUCGGUGUAUCGUGUCGUGCUGUAUUAUGUGUCGCAAGUCACUUGUCGGUGUUGAUAAUACUUAGAUAUCUGGCCGUGAGAGGCAUAUAUGCAGGAAGGAAAAAAAGUCGGUGAAUGCAGGAUUAGGAACAAUGAAUGAAGGAAUUAAAGAAGGGGAAGAAGGAGAAUAAGUAAGACGAGGACGAGGAGGAAGAGGCGGGGUUGUCGGAUUCGGAAAUCAAGAAGGCAUUGUAAUUAAGAGGCAUGCUUGAUUCUUGUAUGUGGCCAACUCCCUUGCACCAAUCUAUAGCUUGCCCGAGAAUGAAAUUUGAUAUCUCCUUUCUCCCGAUGGGGAUUAGAGAUUGUCUUCGAUGAUUACAACAUGUUUGGCUUGUUUGAAAUGCCUAAAGUCAUGGUUCUCUUUCUUUUCUGGUUUGAAUCGAAGGCAAUAGGAAGGGAGAUCUGAUCUUCACUUUAUGCUUUGAACUUUGAAGCAUAUGGCUAGCAUCCUAAAGGAGCUGUGAAAACGGAUUGGAUUUUUAAUCUCAUGUGCUUUGGGAGAACACUGAAAGGACUGCUCGAAGAACUUCUUACAGUAGAAAUUUGAACGAGGAGGAGGUUUUAGUAUAUACAAGGAGUGGUUUCUAUUUUUAGGGGCUGUUCUUUUGGAAAGGGCUGGAGAAUCUAGUGAUUAAUUUAGUGUGAUUAGAGCAAUAUGCUACUCAGAAUGGUUGCUUUCCUAUAUUGCACAGUUUCAAUCAAUUACCUGAGACGCUAUGAAUUCUUAUUGAAGUUCUUAAAUCCUACCUUUGUUGCGACAAGAGAUUGUCUACAGGCCUCACUAGCACUUUCUAGAAUUGAUGCAUUGAGUGCUCAUGCUUAUCGUGUGGCAAUGGUUGAAAUAUAUACGUUGGGUGCACUGGGUCUACUUGCAGAAAUGGUCAGAUAAAUGACAUCACUGAAUCUCAUUUUCACUGUCUCCCGGUUUUAGCUGUCUGCACUUUUUGAGUUUCGCCGAUCUCAAUAGUUGUGAUAGAAGUCCAUUGUUGGCACACAGAGAUAAGCUAUUCUACAUUUUGAUAGUUUUUGUUUUUAGGGGUCAGAACAUUUGACUUGAAUAAGCAUGUGUGGGACUAGUACUGUGUCUACCACUCCCUUCUGCAUCUAAACAUGAUAAGGUGGACACUGACAUAUGUUCUCUAGCUUCUUAAUGUGUUGUUGAGUAUUUAGCUUGUUGAAAUAAUGGAUUGUAUGAAUGAAUACUGCAGGAAUGGGAGGGAAGGGUGAAUGUUCCAUGUCCAGCACUCUGACAGUUUCAAUUCAAGGCAGUGGAUGGGACAUUGCUAUUGGCAAUAUUAAAAGUAAUGAGAAAGCUGACCGUGCAAUCGUCAAGCAAGUAAUGUACAUUUUCAUUGAAAGAUUGAUCAACUUUAUCCCAAGUGUUUAGUAAAAUAUUUCCAUAAAUUCUUCAUGGUUCCAUUGUAGUAACAGCCACAAUAAGGUCUCUUUAUAAUAAGUGUAAUCUGCCGCUUGGACUUUUCUCAAGUCAACAUAUCCUCUGAUCUAAAGAUAGAAUUUUCGUCAAGUUCUUCAUUGGCCUCCUUCCUCUUGCUUCGCACCUCUAUCUCAGGGUCAAAUCUUCUGUACUCGGCAUGAAGCACGAGUGGAAUUAAUUUUCAGAAUUUAUUUAAUCAUAAAUUUUUUUGAAAGUGGAGCGAAGCCUAUUGCAACCUCAAUCUGUCUCUUUGCUGAAUCAUUAUUUGAGUUUGACUUAACUAUAACUGAGUAAACUGUUUGAUGGGUGUAUACAUCGGUUCAUGUCUCCUCUUGCAAUGAUUAGUUAUAAUUAAGAUACCCUCCUCUGCCGUCUUCCCUCCCUGCUCCACUGACUUCGGUCACGAGCUCUGCGUCCCCGCAAGCUCACUUGCCGAAUCUAGGCUUUCUCCUUUGCUACUGUGGAUUUUAGUUUUUUGGAGAAUUUUUUAAAGAUUACGAUCGGUUGUAAAGCCGCUCAUCACGUCGUCUUUGCGCUUUCAUAAUGGAAAAGGCUUGAUUUCGGCACGAAAUUGUUUCCUCAUUUCGCUCAUGAAAAGAAAAAUUGAAAUCGUGACCUUCUGCUACGCAUUCAUAGUUUCAAUCAAAUUCACUGGAAUCUCGCUAGGGGUGAUCAAUUCCCGGUUCAGUCCGGUUCCAAGGUGGAACCGUACCGGGAGCACCAGUUUCCAAAAUUGCAAACCGUGGACCGGACCAUCGGUUCCAGUCCGGUCCGGUCAAAAAAAAAUCAGCUCUACUUUUUUGCACUAAAGAGUGACCACACUCCGGACCGAUCAAUCUAAUUCGAUUCUCGGGCGAUUCAACAAAAUUAAUUACACAUGUUUCCACAUGCAAAAUAUUCAAACUUCACUUGUGUAAUUCACACUUAACUUUAACCAUGAAGGCCAUGAACAAUUUAGCUAAAUGGGGUGCUUGGCUUAGAUUUUAUAGACAAUCUCUCUUCUACUCUUUGAAUGUUUAGUCGAUGUGAGACUCUUGGAGGCUUGAAGUGCCUUGUGAGUCUCUUGGAGCCUUAGUCCCACAUCAAGUAGAAGAUAAAACUAAAAAGGAGAUUUUUUCUAUAAAUAAAAGAGUAACAAAGAGGUCUCAUGGCCACAUAAGAGGUUGCUAUCUCAAAUUGCAAUUUUGGUUGCAAUAAGUUAUCAUGUUUAUAUAUUUUAUUAGUUCUAUGUAUAUAAAUUAUAUAUACAAAAAUUUGGUUCGGUCCGGUUCCCACCUUGGAACUAGGAACCGGACUACCGACCGUGGAAAUUGCCCAAAACCGGCUAGUUCGGUCCGGUCCGGCCGGUUCCCGGUUCGGGUGAUUCCCAUUGCACAUCCCUAAAUCUCACCAAGAUUUAUCACAUUUUGGGUCUGUUUGGAUUAUUUCGACUUUCAGUUUUGCUCAGAGACGCUUCACUCUGGAGACGGUUUGUCCAAUUUCAACUGAUUGUUCUCUGGAGACGGUUUGUCCAAUUUCAACUUAUUGUUUUUUGCUUGUUUAGUGCUGCGGUUCAGAGCAAUCGCUGAUGGAGCUUUUCCUCUGUGCAGAGCGACCCGUGGGGGAGUUGGAGUGGCUCUCGCGGUUUGUUGACGACUCUUUCGCCAACAUCCCAGCGGACUCGCUUGCCGGGACCUGUCUGAGGUCCGCAAAACAAACACACGAUCACAAGGGCCAAAGUGAUCCCAGCUUGAAGCUGAAGGGAGGCUACAAUCAGUCUCUCCACAAAGGCCAGGACUGAAUCUUCUAGGGAUUUGACAAAGGGCAACAGACAAGGAACAAGAGCGAAGAUCUAUAGAGGAGAGAGACGACAGACGAGAGAAUCACGAACGCAGGUUUUAAGGGUAAAAGGAAUAAUGGACUAAGUGGGUUGUAAAUAGGUUUAUAACCUAACUUAUUUAAAACUCAUUUAUUUUGAUCUUUCUAUAAAGAAUCUAUUUAAGUUUUUUUUUUAUCGAAAGAUACGGACAUUUCAUUCAUAUGUGAGCAAAGGUACAUCCCUUAAACAAGGCAUCAAUACAGAGUAAGUCCAACAUAAGUUGUGGGGGAGAAGAAGCCCAGUUGUGUGGUAGGUUUCCUCGGCCAUGGGCCUUCGCGGCCCAGUCAGCUAGGGCAUUUGUUUCCCUUCGGUAGUGCAGCACGCUCAGAUUGGAGAACAGCGUCUUCAAGGCUACACACUCAGUCAACAAAGCUCGACAAUCCCAUGGUGGUUCGCGGCAUCCGUUGAUGGCCUCAACUAGGAUGAGAUUAUCCGACUCAAUGAUGAGGUAGUCUUCCAUCUGUUCUUUCUGUAAUAGCUCCCGAAGAGUGUAUAACAGAGCUUGGGUCUCUGUUUCAAAGGCAGAUCGAGCCCUAACAGUGCGGACGAAUCCUCCAAGCAAACUGCCAGAAGAGUCCCGAGCAAUACUAGCUAUCGCGCCUUCAUGGUGUCCACUGGGAAAGGCCCCGUCGAGAUUGAUCUUUAUUAUCCCCUGUUGCGGAGGUUCCCAAUUCCGAUUAGGGUUCAACCAUGUCUUCCGAGUAAGUUUUUCAAGCUAUGGAAUUCGACUGCCUACCUGAGCCAUAUUAAUUGAUGCUUGAACCAGAUGAUCCGGGUGUGGUCGCUGAUUUCGAAAAACAAAGAGGUUUCGGGCUUUCCAUAUAUGCCAAAACAAAGCCGCGAUCUGCUCAAAAACCGGUACGCCUCUCGUCUGAUCCUUCUUCUGGUUGAUAUGCGUAUGAAGCCAUGUAUCGAUGCGCUGUAUGCUUUGGUGUGAAACUUUAAUUUGCACGCUGUAGUGAUUCCAUAUGUAUUUUGUCCAUGGACAUAGAAGGAAUAGAUGUUCCGGGGUUUCGGGUAUGUUUGAUGAGCAGAGUUUACAAAAAGGGUCUGGGAUAAUCUUCCUGCGAUAUAAAUUCUCUGCUGUAGGUAGAGCAUUCUGGCACACAGCCCAAAGAAAUACACGAACCUUUGGAGCUAUCUGAGUUUUCCAAAUCUGUCUCCAUAAUGUAGUAGGGGGCUGAUAGGAGGAUGAAGGCUGAGACUGAAACUUGUGAGAUGCUACUUGUUUAAUGAAAUGAUAACCACUCUUAACAGAAUAACAACCAUCUAAAGUGUCUGUCCACACAAUUUUGUCCUCAGAGGAGGCUGGUGAGAGAGGAAUAGAUAGUAUUUCGUCAACAAUGUGGUCCUGAUAAAAUUGACGCAGUAGAACCUCAUUCCACUCAUGCUGAUUAGGCAGAAUAAGGUCCUGCACUUUAUUCGGUUCUGUCCUGUUGUAUGGUCCACCUAGAACUCCCAAUUUCAGCCACUUGUCUUCUCUGAUUUUAAUCUGGGUACCAUUCCCUACUGACCAUUGGAGCUUGUCAGUGAUAGAAUCCCUACCUAGAAUAAGACUUUGCCAGCCCCAAGAAGACCUCGUCCCCUUUUUUGUAGACCAGAAACUUGUGUGAGGGAAGUAUAAUGCUUUGAAAACAGUGCUCCACAAAGAGGAAGGAUUAAGAAAAAGUCUCCAUGCUUGCUUACCCAAUAGAGCUUUGUUAAAGGAGAUUAAGUCAUGAAAACCUAAACCUCCUUGAUCUUUACUCUUUUUAAGAGUUUCCCAGUUUUUCCAAUGAACGCCUGAUUUGUUGCUACUGUUUUUCCACCAGAACCUUGCUGUUUGUUGUUCCACUGCCUUACAUAUGGAUACGGGAAGCUUAAAAAUCGUCAUAGCAUACUGUGGUAGGGCCUGAACCACCGAUUUCAAUAGAACCUCCUUCCCUCCCUUAGAGAUUAGGUUUUCCUUCCACCCCUCCAGCUUAGUAUUAACUCUACUUAAGAUCCAUGAAAACAUAUCAUGUUUAGAAGAGCCCCAAUCAGAAGGAAUGCCUAAAUAUUUCCCUGUUCUAUCCAAGAUUGGAACUCUAAAAUCGUUAGCCAAAUUAAGUCGAAGGGAAUAGGGGCAAUUUUUACUCAUAAACAAGCCUGAUUUGUUUCUGUUUAUCUCUUGACUAGUAGCUAGGCAAUACUAAUUGAGAAUGUUGGAUAAGUUUUGGCUCUCCCGUAGCCGACCAUCAAUGAACAGGAUGGCGUCAUCAGCAAAGAAUAAAUGUGAUAACGUAGGACACCAUCGGUUGAGUUUAAUGCCUCUUAAAUGACCCAUAGCAACAGCAUUUUGGAUAAGAGUAGAGAGUAAAUUUGCGACGAGAAUGAAUAAAUAGGGGGAGAGAGGGUCACCUUGCCUUAAACCUCGAGAUGGGCGAAAAUAAUGGAGAGAUUCCCCAUUCAGUUUUACACUAAAAGAAGUCGUUGAAACACACUGCAGCAUCCAUCUCACCCAUUGAGCAUGAAAUCCAAGUCUGGACAGGUAAUCUUGUAAGAAAUCCCACUCCACCCUAUCGUAGGCUUUCUUCAUAUCCAACUUGAGAAUUUCCUGAAAUUUUUUCUUUCUGUCUCUAGAUUUCAGCUGGUGUAUAACCUCUUGAACUAUAAGAAUAUUGUCUUGAAUUUGUCUACCGGAGAUAAACGCACUUUGUUCUUUAGAAAUCAGCACCGGCAGCUAGGUCUUUAGACGGUUAGCCAAAACUUUUGAUAUGAUAUUGUAGAUAAAAUUACAUAAAUUGAUGGGGCGAAACUGUUCUAACCUCUCGGGAUUCUGGAUUUUCGGAAUAAGGACUAUGGAAGUUCGGUUGAUUUCCGAUGGCAUGUUUGCUGUAGCAAAAAAUUGUUGAACGGUUGAGAAGACCUCUUCCUUUAUAAUGUCCCAAUGAUGACGGUAGAAUAAUCCAUUUAACCCAUCCGGUCCUGGCGCUUUAGUUGCGCCUAGUUGAAAAGUAGUUCGUUUGACUUCCUCCCUUGUUACUUCUGCUGUUAGAUGUGUAUUCAUUUAUGCUGUUACUAUUGGAAAGCAUUGCAUUAAAAUAGGGCCAUAAUCCCUUUGACCUGCAGAAGUGUACAAUUGCUGGAAAAAGUUGAGUGUCUCGAGCUUCACUCGAUGUGGAUCGCGAAUCCAUUCCCCGUUCUCAUUCUGUAAAAUGCUGAUUUUAUUCCUUUGGCGCCUUUGUAUUGUAGUAGCAUGGAAGAAUUUCGUAUUACGAUCACCCCAGCACAUCCAGUUAAUGCGAGAACGCAUGGCCCAAUAUUGUUCUUCUUGUGCCCAUUUUUGUUGAAUUUGACAUCUCAAGGAAGUGACCAGAUCUUUGUCAUAAUUACAUGCAGGCUCGUUAAUACAGUGCUGAAGUUGCUGUUGCAAAAGAUAUAAUUGUUGCUGAGCUGCUUUAAACUUGUUCCUGCUCCAGCUGGCCAGUGCCGUAGUGGUGUUCCUAAUCCGCUUCGAAAUUUGGAGCUGCUCGGUUGAAUGAGGAGACCAAGAUUUGUAUAUCACCUCUCGGCAUUCUGCAUCUUGAAGCCAAAAGGCUUCGAAGGUAAAGCACUUUUUCCGCUUGACUAGCAUUGCAUUGGUGGUUAAUAAAAUCGGGCUGUGGUCGGAACCUAUGGCUGGAAGGGUAAGAACCUCUGCCUCUGCAUAUUUUAAUCGCCAUUCGAUUGUACAUAAUGCACGAUCGAGUCUUUCCUUGACCAUUUCCUCGCCACUUCUGUUAUUAAUUCAGGUGUAGGCACAACCUUUUGUCUCUAGGUCCAGCAAUGCACAGUCAUAAAGAAAUUCCUGAAAGGCAUGCAUUCGGUAAGGUUGAACUGGUCUCUUGCCUACCUUCUCCCAUGGAUGUAAAAUGUCAUUAAAGUCCCCUAUGCAAACCCAAGGUAAAGUGUGCAAGGUAUAGAGAUGCCUUAAAUCUGCCCAAAACAGUUGUCGGUGUUGAAAGACCGACGGCGCAUGUAAACAGGUGAGACCCAUAGGUGAGUCACUACCAAUUUCAGUACAUUUAGUAUCUAUAUAGUGCGCAUUAGAGCUAUUAAUAUGAAGAGAGAUCUGAUUCGUCCAAAAAAUAACCAUUCCUCCAGCCAAACCUAUAGGAUUAACAACAAAACUGUUUGAAAACUUAAUUUUGCCUUGGACACGCUGAAUAAGAAAUUCUUGAUUGCGAGUUUCCAUCAAAAACAGAACAUCUGGCCGUUCUCGAGCCACUAAGGCCCUAAGUGCUUGAACUAUCAAGGAGUUGCCCAAUCCUUGACAGUUCCAACUCAUUAUCUUCAUUUAUCCUUGGGUGGCUUAUUGGGGCAAGCCACCUCAACCCAAUCUCUAACGUUUUCAGCCAUUAAGAUGGGAGUUUCCAGUAGUUGACACUCUUCAAAAACUUCCGGAAGAACAGGACGAGAUCCAUAUGGAGAAUACCGCUUGACUUUCUUGACUGGAGAGGUCUUAGUCGACAACAGAGGUUUUUUUUAACUUUUUUGGAGUUGGUAACUGACUGUAUAACUUCUGUUAUAGCAUUGGAACAUGUCAGACCCGGACCUUCAGGGGGAGACGAAGUGGAUUCAAGAGCUGUCUGCCCAGUGACAGGGAUGGGAUAUGUUGGCUGCAGAGAUGUGGUGGGAAAAGGGAGAUGAGGAGCCUUCUGAGGGUCUGUUACUACUUGCUUAUUUAUGGAAACUGAUGGAUCAGGAGGGAGCAAUAGCAAGCCUUGUGGAGGAGUUUCAGGUACCGAUUCCUCUCCAUCUUCCAUAAAAGGUUUUGUUUCAUAGAAAACCUGCCAGAAGGGGCUAGGGUCCCUAGCUUCAGCCCUGAGCCAUUGGCCAUAAUACAUCGUGUCACGCUUAUCAAAAUUUGACUCUUCAUAAGGGAUAUCUUUGCAAUAGGAAGCAUAAUGACCAAGUACGCCACAAGAAUAACAGAAGGUCGGUAAUCUUUCAUAUCGAAAGUCUAACCAGAUUGAUUUUCCUUCCACUCGAAUAAGCUUUCCCGGUUUGAGAGGCUUCUGAACAUCCAGAUCCACCCGAGCUCUUCCUAUUUUAAGACUGGAGCCAUCUUUCGCCUCAAUUUUAACAUCCAGAACAGGUCCAAGAUCACUGACUACCUUACUUAUCAACUGCUCUGUGCAUCGUUCUAACGGUAAGCCAACUAUUUGGACCCAGAAUGCAUAUGUGGUGAAAUCAUAGCAAUGUAAGGGAGUGUUAGGGAUCCACUGUUUGAGAAUAAUAAGAUUAUUUGAGAAAGACCAUGGCCCACUGUCUAAAAUACGCUGCUUUGUCCCUUCAGAGGGAAAUUUAAAGACAUAAAGACCUGCUUCUCUUUGUGAAAUAUCAACAUUAUCUACACGCCAUACCUUCUUCAUCGUACUCUGAAAAGCGGGGAAGUUUAUAGGAGAAUUUGCAAGAAUUUUCCCUACAAGUGUUAACUUACAUUCCUCAAUUUUCUCUGCAGGAGGGGCUUCAUUCCAAACCUCAAUAUGCUGAGGAGACCACAGUCGACCCAGGCGAGUACAUAAAGCAUUAAGUCGAGCUUCCUCUUCCUUGCUACCAGUAUCCAUAAAGAGUAGAAUUGGCAAAAGAUGGACCAGAGUUUAGAAAGGCUAAAAAAGCACAUGCAAAAUACCAGUCCGAUAGAAGUUAGGUUGUGGAUUAGACAUGCAGAUGAAUCGGUCGACCCAACCUCCAAAUUAGAGAAGAGAAGACCAAAUUCGACCGAACAGAGUAUGAAAAAGAGCGAUGGAAAGGGUGGAAACAGAAGUAAGAGGAAGAUGGAUGAAACAGAGAAGAAAGGGAGCCGGUACUUUCAAAAUAGGGGGGUGCGACUCCUGAAACGAAGUCCAUAAAAGGAAGACGUGGGAUAUUCCGUUGAAAACGCCAUGCGAGAAGAAAGCUUGAUGUGGGAAUUCUGAAAACUGGGAUUAGGGUUGAGAAGGGAAGAUAAACAUAGAAACUACCAAGAGGUAGAGGGCGACUCUACAAAGCGAGAGAGUUUUAGUUGACCUGUGAAAUUCUACGUGAAUUUAAAUGAUGGAGAACCCAUUUUGACAGAUUUGCUUGAAGCAUCCCACAAGUUAUUCUUGGAAGCGAUUGGAUUGGAGCACUGGAGUAAGAAUAUGAAGUUGUAUGGCAUGCUUUUGAUUUUCUAUUUCAGUUCUCUCCCUUGGGAUUAUUGUGAAUGUUUGUUUAAGGCAUGUCCUGAUAGGCUUCUACUCUUUUCUUUUUCUUUUUUUAAUCCUAGUCUUGCGACACACGAGACACAAAUUUAUACAUAUUAAUUCAUAUAUAUAUAUAUAUAUAUAUAUAUAUUCAUAAUUUUCUGUAAUUCAAAUAAUAUUUUGAGUUCCGGCGAAUUUUUCAUUUGUUAAAGUGUACACAAACAUGCUCUUAGUCUGACAAAGAGGAUAAGCUUCAUUAUUCUUGUCCUUUCAUUUUUAGAAAUAGUUGAAUCCCAUUGUGAAGAUGUUGAACUUUGCUAUUGUAAUGUUUGAGUUGAUUGGAGAAAAAUUGUCCAAAAAUUUCUAAACAUAUUGUAUGGUAGUUGAUUCAUUCCUAAAUGAUUCAAUGUAAUCAAUUUAAUUUUAAACAUUUUGAUAUUUAUCAAAGUAAUAAUUUUAACCAAUUUUGACUAAAAGUUGAUGCUCAAGGUCUGGAGUCCUCUAAAGUAAAGUGCAUGUUUGUGAAAAUUCUCAAUGUCCCUCUAAACAUCUCUUCUUCUUCUCCAACCUGGUAGGAGCCUCUAAGAAAUAAAGCUUGGCUAAUUAGAAAUGUUUCCAUCCCGGCAUCCUUGACUGCCUCUAUACUCUAAACUAAAACUCUGAAUAUUUGCUGCUAAAAGAUUGUCUUGAAGGGCUUAAACAAGGUUCGCCCAUUGUUAGAAGGCAUACUUGCAUCAAUUAAUUUUGUUUUCCCUAGUUCUAAGCAUAAAAUCUGUUGACACCUAAUUUUGGAAAAAUAAAAUUGCAUUUUGAACAAAUAAAAAGAAAAAAAAUGAAAAUGGGGGAAAUUGAUUUGAUUGAAUUAUGCAAGGAAAUAUGGAAUUCUGAUGGAUGUCCGGAUUUUAUUAAAUGCAGCAACAAUUUUGAAAUCAAGUGAAAAAUGGGCAAGAAUUGAGCUGAUUGCCAAAUCAUACAGAUUUGAUUUAAUGUGAUAAGAAAUGGUAACUCGGGAAAUGCCAUGUAAAGAGAUCGUUUCGAAUCACUAUAAAAGAGAGGCUCAUUUUUCAUGACUAGUGUGCGUGGACGAUCUCGAGAAUUCUCCGAUUGGUCUAUUGGAUGGUGCAGUCCUCUUGACGACAUCCCACAUCCAUCAUGCAUCAUGGAUAUUGACGACAAGCAUAAAGCUAAGUCAAGCUUCCUUUGUUAAGUUUGAUUGUGUGCAAUUCCAAUUUGCUAUUCGAACUAAAGUGAUUUUAUUUUUGUUUCUUGCCUAGAUUAAACUCCUACAUCUCCGACGAUAAUUCCAGCAGCGAGACAUCAAAAUGGCCAGUGUACCCAAGCACUGAUUGCCAUCCAGUGAUUUCACUGUGAUAAAACCGGGUUGUUUCUCUCUCUAUUAAAGUUGUUCAUUCCAUAUUUUCGGUAUUUACUUUGUUUUGCCACACAUAUUGAAUACAAGGCCAUUGAGAGAAAAACGUGAGUGAGGGCGAGACUUAGAUUGAAAGAGAGAGAGAUCCUUACAUCUUGAGGACGACUUCUCUGGACGACCAAUAUUUUACCCUUCCGAUAUUGCGCACGGACCUGCAAAGCCCACACCCAUAUCACGACUAGUUGCUCCUGCCACGGAUAUCCCAGGUCAUCCAGAAAAAUGCAGCGUUCCUUCCAGUCGCGAUCUCGAGUUCAGGGGCUUCGUCAAUGGGAACCCUUGCCUAGCCGUGGAAUUUGAUUUGCCGGUCGCAUGGAAGUCCCUCAACGUGAAAUCAAUGAAAUUCACCGGGUGUGGUGAUCAAAGAAUCGGAGAUCAGAGAGCACAGCUACGCUCGUGAAGGAAGGAGGGGAGGGCCAAUAAAAAAUUCUACUUUGGUCGCAUAGGGGAUGUUCUUUUUCACUGUUCUCUCCACUCCAUUAUGGACACCUCACUUUUCAAAGAUCUCUUUUUUUUUUUUCUUGGGCGGUGCUAAUGCGAUCUGCUUGCCGCUCAUGAAUUAACGCUGCUUCCGACGUUCCUACAGUCCUGGUGGUUACCAAUCGACUUCGAUUUUCAUUGGUGAAAGUUCAUCAAUUGUUUUGUUGGCCUGCCAUGCUGAGCCGUGAAGCCUCGACGUGAGCUACUCCGACACCAUCCUUUGGCCCGACGUCAAGACAAGCUACCGUCCCGUUGGGCUCAUCCCCGAAGCAAGCAUCCAUGAAGUUUCUGUUUUGUAGGUUUGUUGAUCGUAAGCAUCACCGAGAGACCCAUCGGCCAGCAUCACUAUGAACCACCACGUGACCCAUCGCCACUCAAGUCACCACCGUCAGUUGCGCCAUUGGCCAUCGUUUGCAAGCCAUCCAUAGAAAAAAUUUCAAUUUUGAGUUAUAUCCGCAAAUUAGGUAAAAAAAUCUCAUCCAAAUUUGAUUUAGAUAUCAUAUUGCAUAGGUUGAUGAGAUUGAUAUCUAAUUAAAUCUUUUUGAGUAAUAGGCAUAAUGUCAAUUAGGAUUUAUUGCCUAAUUUGCAACCGCACGUCAAUUUUUUAUUCCAUCUAUAAGGCUUUAGAUGGAAUAAUUAAUUAUGUGGGAAUAAACUUGAUAUCUUGAUCUUUAAGGCUUAAGAUCAAUUUAUCGAUUUUAUUAGCGAAAUAAUCAAUUUGAUUAGAUAUCGUUUCCAAAUUCGAGUGAUGGAUAAUAUCUUUGAUGACUGUGGAUGAUUUGAUGCUUAUCUUUUAAUUGCUUUAUUUAUCCCAAAAAUACAAAAAAGAAUGCAUUUACAUAUCAUGUAGAUUACAAUAAAUUUCCUAGAUAGAAUUGCAUGAUAGAAUAGUUAGAUUCUAAACUGAUUAUAUUAGUUAGCAUGUUUAGAUGAUAUCUAGGUUAGAUAUUAUCAUUGAAUUAAAUUGCAUGUCAAGAUAAAUUUCUGAGUUAAGAUAGGAUUUGGAUUAGUCUAUUUCCUAACUUAAGAUAGAUAAUAUCUCAUUUUAGUUAGAUUUUUAAUUAUGAAAUUUUUUAUAAAAAAAAUCACAAAUAAAAUGUCAUUGCAUGUCAUAUAGAAUUAGAUUCAUCAUUUAGUGAUUGUUGUUAGGUCCAUUUAAUUAGAAAUUAUUUAGUGAUUGUUGCUAGGUCCAUUUAAUUAGAAAUUGCAUGUCAUUAGAAUUAUGUCAUUUAGUUAUAUUGCAUUGCAUAAAGCAUGAUUCUCAUUAAUUAAAUAGAAACAAAAAGAAAUUGCGCGUUAAUUAGAAAUCAUAUCUAGGGUUGAUGAUGUGAAUUUUAAUCUAACAACGCAGAUGCUUUCGUUGCUAUAAGGUAAGUCCCUACAAUUUAUUCAUUGUUUAUCUGGAUGUUAAAUUAGUGGUUUGCGCACCCGCGUGAUUGCCUCACAUGUUAGAAAAAUAGAUUUAAAAUCAAUUCAAGUUGCCUAUAAAAGUAUUUUUGAAAAUAAAAGAAUGGUACUGAAAGGGUAUUAGAGAAAUCUAGUGUAACCAAGUCCCCGUACCCAUAGUCUCUAGUUCGUAGGAGUAAAGUAAAUCUCCUGUUAUUUUACUUGGAUUUCUAGUCGAACCAACAAAAAUUGAUUAGUGGCGACUCCUAGUUAAAAAUCAAUUGCAUGUUAAAAUUUGAACCAAAGUCGCGAAUUGGUAUGGGCUUGGGAGAGCUCGAGUUAAGUUUAGGUUUAACAAUCCAUUAGCCAAACCCUAGGUGGUUCACCGAAAAAUUGGUCGCGACAAAAUCCCUCAAGAUUUUGUUGUUCGUGGAAAGCAAGUGUCUUUUAAAAGGCUUCAAGGUCUUCUCUAAUUGGCCGGCCAUAAUCUCCAAGAAAAGCAAAAUGGUGUUCAUAUGUACAAGAGUCUAGAAUCCCUUUUUUUUUUAUAAAAAAUAUGUCUACUAGAAAUCCUAAAACUUAUCACGAAAGUGCAAUUGAGUCUUAAAAUUUUUAAAAAGUGCAAUUAAGUCUGAUAAUUUGUAAUUGUCAUCCCAUUGUGAAGAUGUUGAACUUUGAUUUUGUGAUGCUAGAUCUAAUGGGUAAGUCAUGCAACAGAGUUGUUUGCUCGGUCUUUGUUUUGUUGUCCAUGGUAACUACGAGGCUUAUUUGUAAGACAAAAGUUAAAUAAACAACGUGAUGUUUUCAUGAUGCAAGCAGCUGAAUCAAAUGAGUAGUUCGUGGCCAAAGUACUAGUGUUCUUGUUGACUUUUGGUGAAAAUACCCAUUUGCAUAGAUCCCCAAGUCCAAUAAAAUUCUUAUAGAAUUGGGAUUUAUCUUUUUGCUUGAAUUAUUAGACUUGCCUAAUCUAUUAGGAUUUGAAUUCUAUCAGACUUUAAAGAAGUUUCAUCUUUUGGAGUAGGAGGUUGAUGCGUGUGGAAAGCUUAGAUGUGAAGCUUCUCAGCAAGCUCCCCUAUGCUAGGCAUCUCAAGCUUCCUUAACUUCUUAUCUAGAGCUUCUCAAGCCUUGCCUUUAAGAAAAUCAUCGUCCAACACGAUUCUGACGUAAAGACCUGGUAAGGCUUUGUUUGGAAGGGAGAGGGUGAAUGGGGAGUGGGUGUGAGGAAACUACCCGGCCCUUCCCCCGUAGACUAAAAGUCAAUGAACUCUAUUAAAUUAAUCUUCCAGGUUCCGCCUAAUUCUUUUGACGCCUAAAAUAUGGUUUCUUCUAUUUAGUUUCAAGGGAGAUCUCAAAGUAUAAAUAAGUUUGACUGAAGUGCAUAUAAUUUAUUUAAUUAAAUGUUUUUUUUUUUUUUUUGUAACCUAGGGAACCCCAUAAGCUGAUAGCCAGCAAGCAAAUCCUAAGGGAGUGACUAUAGGAUCCACCACUAUAAUACUCCAGCUAAGAAUCCCUAACGACGCAUCUGGGAUUCAAACUUCUUCCCUUCGUAAGGGAGAGAGAGUCCGAGCCAGAUGCGCCGCUGAGGGUGGUGGUUUAUUUAAUUAAAUGUUUUUUUUGGUAAAAAAAUUUUUAGUAAAAUUAAUUUAUUUAAUUAAAUGUUAAUAUCACAAAAAAUUUCAAACUUAUACACUUAUGAUAAAUUUAUCUCAAACUAAUUUUUUGGCCAUCAAAAACCCAAUAUUGGUACAUUUGUGAUAAAUUUACGCAAAAAUGAUUUUUAGACUAUCAAAAACCCUCAAACUAGUACAUUUAUGACAAAUAUACCCUUUGUUAAAUCGAAUUAAUAUCUAUAUAAUUCCAUAUUGAUACAUCAGUCAACUGCCACGCGUCAUUCAUUUAAGUAAUUUGACAAUAAAACAUAAACUAACAUAAAGUAAAUAUAUCACAAAUGUACCAGUUUUGAAUAAAUUUAUUAAAGGUCUAUUGGUUCAGAGUUUUUGGUGGUAAAAAAAUUAGUUUAAAGUAAAUUGAUCAUAUAUGUACCGGUUUUGGGUUUUUCGUGGUUUUAACCUUUUAGUUUAAAUUUUUUUUUAAAACCUCUUCAACUAAAAGACACCACAUACAUUCUCAAAUGAUAAAUUCUCAAUCUCUAAGACCUCAAAAUAAAUAAAUAAAUAAAACCUGUGUGAGAGGUUUAAGACUUCAGUAGUGAUUGUCAUUUUAGAGUAAUUAGGGAUGAAAUUAUCUAAAAUUAAGAGUAAGAAUUCACUUGUGAAAAUCAUUAAAUUCAUUAUCUAAACUUUGAUGUCAAAAUCAAAGUUUAUUAAAAGCUUGGUCUAAAUUCAGGAGCAAGGCUAUCACUCUUCAUCUUUGCCUAUUAAUUUAAUAUUUAAUUUUUGGCUCCUUUAUGCUGACUCUUAAUCACUUCGGGCUACCUAGGAUCACAUAUCUAUGAAGAACAGGCUUAAUCUAAUUCAAAUUGAAUAAAAAAUUUACGAAAAUAUAUUAAAAAAAAAUUGUAAGGAAUCGAUUCCUUAGAGGUCCAAACAAAUUGAUGUAAGGACUUCAGGAAAGGGAAAAAUAAGCGCUUGCUUAAGAAGGGACGAGAACCGGUUUUAAGGCCGGCUCUUCUUUUCGGGGAUUGAAGAAUCCAAAUCGAACCGGUCCGUUGACGGCUUUUUAUUAUUGCCUGUGCCUGCGCGCCUUAUUCAGUUCACCAGUCAACGGUCAGUCGCCGCUCUCCUUCCUUCACCAAUCUCCAACUGUUGAGUCGCUCAGCCGCCAGAGCUCCACUGAGUUCAGCCUCUUGCCUGGCCUGAGUAAAGUUAACCUCAUCGCUUCCGCAGCAAAGCUCUCUCUCUCGAGUCCGUUGCCAUUGAUCAUCAUCCUCGCGUCCCUAUUCAGGUAGCUCUCUCUCUCGAGUCCGUUGCCAUUGAUCAUCAUCCUCGUGUCCCUAUUCAGGUAGCUCUCUCUCUCUCUCUCUCCCUCCCCGUUCACACCGUAACCAGUCUCGCAGAGUUUUUCUUUUUGGAACUUGAUGUUUGCCUGUAACAGGCAUCUAUGGUGGAAGAAGAAUCAAUGGAAGUUGCAUUAGAAAUUAAUCAAGUUGGAAUGGUUGUACUUGAAAGACGGCGGAGAAACAGAGGAUGUAGCCUUCGUGCCCAACUUACGUUGUCUAAACGUUCAUGGAGUAACUCACACGUGUGCCUGGUCGUCCACACUUCAACCCCUGUCCAUUCGGAGCCAGAAACUCUCCAGCCACAUUGGCGCUUCCCCUUUGGAGGUCCUAAACUCCUUUUCUCUUGUUGCUUCACUAUCAUUUAUAUCUAUUUCAUUUAACUAAUUCGCAGUGCCGGUUUGUAGUUUGUAGUUCAGAGGCAUGCUUGAUUCUUAUAUGUUGCUAAGUCCCUCGGACGAUCUACACCUUGCCUGAAAAUGAAAUUUGAUUUCUCCUUUCUGCUCUUGGGGAUUAGAGAUUUUUCUUUGAUGAUUACAACGUGUUUGGCUUGCCUGAAAAGCCUAAAGUCACGAUCUCUUUCUGUUCCGGUUUGGUUUGAAUGUAAUGGGAAGGGAGGUUAGAACAUCACUUCAUGCUUGAAUAGACUGAAGGAGAAAAAUGUGGCAACACCAUUGCAACAAGGUUAAACGUUUAAGUGUAUGGUUAGCAUCCUAAAUGAGCUGUUCAAAAUGGAUUGGAUUCUUAGUCUAUCUUCUUUGGGAAAAUAUGGGAGGUACUGCUCGAAGAACUAAUAGCUAAAUAUGAACAAGGAGCUUUUAGAACAUACAAGGAUUGUUUUCUCUGUUUAGUGGCUGUUCCUUCGAAAGGGAUGGAAAAUCUAAUGAGUAAUCCUGUACUGAUAUAGCAUGACUAGAGCAAUAUGCUGCUCAGAAUGGUUGCUUUGCUAGAUUGCGCGACAUCUGAAUGCUCAUGGAGGGCUUCACACACGUGCCUGGUUGUCCACACUUCAACCCCUGUCCAAUUGGAGCAAGAAACUCUCUGCUCAUAUCCGCGCUUCUCCUUUGGAGGUCCUAAACUUCUUCUCUCUUGUUGCUUGACUAUCCUUUUUAUGCAUUUCACUUAACUAAUUCACAAUGCCUGUAUGUAGUCUGUAAUUCAAAGGAAUGCUUGAUUCUUGUAUGUUGCUAAGUCCCUUGGACCAAUGCAUGGCUUGCCUGAGAAUGAAUUUUGAUGUCUCCUUUCUCCUGUUGGGGAUUAGAGAUUUUUCUUUGAUGACUACAACUUGUUUGGCUUACUUGAAAAGCCUAAAAUCAUGGUCCUUUUUCUUUUCCGGUUUGAAUCGAAGGUAAUAGGCAGGGAGGUCUGAACAUCACUUUAUGCUUGAAUUUUGAAGCAUAUGGUUUGUAUCCUAAAUGAGCUGUGGAAAUGGAUUGGAUUUUCAAUCUGUCUUCUAUGGGAAAACAGCGAAAGGACUGCUCGAAGAACUUCUUAUUGAUAAUACUAAACAGGGAGGAGUUCUUUAAAAAUACACAAGGAUUGGUUUUUGUUCUUGGUGGCUUUCCUUUUGAAAGGGUUGGAUAAUCUAGUGAUUAGUUUUAUACUGAUGUAGCAUGACUAGAGCAAUAUGCUGUGCAGGAUGGUCGCUUUCCUAGAUUACACAGUUUUGUUCAAUUACCUGAGAAUCUAAGACAUCUUAUUGAAGUCCUUAAAUCUUGCCUUUAGUGUGACGAAAGAUUAUUGAUGGGCUUCACUAGCAUUUUCUACACUUGCUGUACUGAGUACUGAUGCUUAUGGAGUGGCAAUGCUUGAAACAGACACCUUGUCUGCAAAAGCUGUACUUGCGGUAACAGUACAAUAAAAAACACUGGUGAAUCUCCUCUUCAUUGUCUCCCCGUUUCAGCUGUCUACACUUUUGAAUUUCACCAACAUCCAUAUUUGUGAUGGAACUUCAUAAGAACUCAAUCUUCAAAAUUUUGCCACUUUUCACCAAAAAAGGAAUGUUCAGUUCAUGCUGUCAUCAAUUUGGUUGGCACAAUAACAAAGCUAUUUUAGAUCUUGAUACUUUUUUGCCGAGUAAGCAGUUUGAUGGGUGUAUGCAUUGGUUCGUGUCCCUGCUCGUAACAAUUUUUCAGAAGUAAGACCACUUCUAAGAGUUAUUGAACUUAUAGUGCCCCACCCCCACUCCUAAAAGUUACUGAAGCUAUGGUAGCAUCUCUGAGAAGUUCUCAUGGAAUCAUUUACACGGUUGUGCAGGCCAUUGACCAGACGACUCAGAUGGUUCUAUUCAAGUUGCUCAACUGUCAUGUAUUUAAUGAUAUAAAUGGUUGCAUUUCCAUUGGCAAAGAAGUAUGUUAUCAUAUACAUAGAGCAGUACUGGCUACUUUCUUUUCUCUACCAAUUGAUUGUAGGUGGAACUUCAUCACGUCAUUGUUAUAAUUUUGCGAUUUUACUUGUGAUUUGUUCAUAAUUUUACUACUACUGCAUAGUCUCUUGACCCUGUUAUCACUUGACUUUAUAGGCAAGCGUCUCUCAUGCAACAAAAUCUGACGGGCAAGAAUUGGCAAUCAAGGCCUACAAGACUUCGGCGCUGGUGUUCAAGUAAGUGUGAUGUUUUUUAGUUUUUUGCAAGGCCCCUGCGUGGGCGUUUGAAGCUGCAAUACUGCAUUUGCUACAAGUUUGUGACUUUACUCUUUCUAGAAUUAACGAUUGAUAUACAGGUUCUGUUUGUUGUGAUGGCAGUCACUGCCAGAUUGUGGAGAAUGUUGGCUUGUUUCAUCUGAUACCUUUUUUUCUCUUUUAUUAGGAGCUACUGUUAGUUCUUUUUCUUUAGUAUUUGGCCGAAAGAAGCUAUACUUAAUUUGCAAUGCGAUUUUUCUUCAAUUCUACACUGUCAAUUUUGUAGUGGUAUUUCGUGGAUUUAGUUUAUGGUAGGUUUCAUUUUCUUUUCCCUCUAUUUGUUAUUGUAUGAUUUUUUAUUCCAUCGAGGGAUGAGGCCGUCGAAACAGCCUCAUCAAUAUAAAAGAGUUACAUAGGAGACCUCAGGCCAACGAUAUCUGCCCGUUCGAUUUCUGUUCUUUAUUACCUCUCCCCCACCGCGCCCCCCCCCCCCCCCCCCUCCCCAACGUGAUGGGCUCUCUUGAUACUUCAGCAAUGAGAACCUUUAAUUCUUCUGGAGCAAAGCCUAAGUCAUAGAGUGUUAUUGAAGUUAAGUUGUUCUUCUGCUACCAAAUGGUCUUAAUAUUAGAUGACUCUGAAGUUGAUGUCAUGAAAAACUACGGAUGGUGAUCUGACUUCUAAGCCUUGGAGCAAGCUAUAUGCCUACCUAUAUUUGGAUGCCAAACCGUAUUGUAGCUUACUCCGACAAACAUAAACCGUCAGAAGAGAACUGUGAUGAUUGACUUGCACUGAACUCUGCAUCUUACCUUUUGGAAGUUCUCAAGUGAUCACUUAUCCGGAUUUGUUCCCUUGACUCAACUCAUGUCGUGUGACUCACUAUUGUCUUGAUUGAUUAGCACCACGCAUUUAGUCCUUUUGAUACUCCAUCCGAACUGGGUUCCACCAUGAACUAUAACUCUUAGCUUCUAAGGUCUACAUAGAUACAAGUAGGUGUCAGUUCCUAUAUUCACACGAACUCCAUACAUAUGGAAUUAUUAUACUCAUCUGAACCUGGACCAGCAUUACCAUCGAGAAUAGUCCACAGUGAGACUAAUACUGUAAGGAUAAAACAUCAAUAAACAGUACUUAUUAACAAAUUUUCUGUUUAGCCAAUUCAUAUGCCUUUAACCUUUGUUUUGGCAUUCCAAAAAUAGUCGAUUUAACAAGCACUUGCUUCUGUCUGUGUUACUCCAUGAAUUUUAAGUAGUAAACGAUUAUCAGUAUAGCAUCUUGCAAAGCUUUUGAUGCAGGAUCUAACUGUACUUAGUGUAUGAAUUUCCAACAGGCUAUGUAGUGAGCUUUGGACUGUGAUGUUUUCUUGUCAUGCAAAAUAUUAUAUAGCCCUGGGACCAAAUUUGCAAAGGCACCCUAGGAAUUACUAGAUCUGAGUGGAAGCCACUUGUGCCCACCAGAUGUUCGUAGUGCAUCUGCUUGUUGUUGCAUCCCUCUUAGGAAACUUUUUCUUAUGAAAACCCAAUGCAUGGAUUUAUGAUGCCGAGAAAAUGCUUCACGCAUUUGUGUUUGUUUUACGGAGAGAUGUUAUAAUGCGGUCUACAGGGAGUAGCUAUCUAAAUUUGCGUUCUUCUAUGGAUGAGGUGACAUUUACAUUUGCUGUCAUUUACUAUUGUAAUUGUUAAUAACUUUUUGUUUAUGCUUUCUCUUUCAGUGAUAUAUACUGAAGACGCUAGAUUUGGUGAAAAAUGUGGGAGAGGAUGUGAUUCGGAUAAUAACUAGGAAGGACAUUGAAGACAUGUCUACAAGACUCUCAUGGGGUUAUCUCAGGCUCUCACGAAGGGGGACGCUAAUGCUAUAGAAAAGGCAACUGAUCCUGGCGAUAAUACUAAAGCUUGCGGUAGAGAGUCCAACUCAGAUCCAGAUGUAGAUGAAGAUUCGGAAGGAAUUGAGUCAGCUUCCAAAACUGAGGUGCUGGCUCCUGUUGACAAGAAGGCUUCUAGGAAGGAGAACAAAAAGAAGGUCAAAGAGGAAAAAAGAGAAGCGAGGAAAGACAGUCUCCAAGGCCGCGAAGAAAGAAGGAAGAAGUUGGCGAAAGCCCAUGGGACUGGUAGUUCGUUUAUGGUAGCGGUGUUGAUAUACAUAUCCGGCAUUUCUCAAUAGAGUGAGUCACGUGUCGUAUAAGUUUAAUUUACUGGAUCUAUAGAUGGCUUCGCACUUUUCAGUGGUAGCCCAGUUUUAGCUUAGAGUAAAGCGAGAGGGAUAAGGUAAGUUAUGUUGGUCUUGGAUUGUGUCAGGGUAUCAUUAUUAGAUGGUGUUGGUAUAUCAUUCCAAGGUAAAUUGUAUAGCAGCUUCUUCUCUUUUCCUAUAUUUUUGCUAGUUAUUAUAAGGAGGCCUUGGUAGGAGUUGCUUAUGACCUAAUCAAAUCCUGGCUCCGAUCUGCUAUCGAUAGUUAGAUACCUUAUGUGAUUUUAGUUUGAUUUUUUUCACAUACUUUCUGGGGUGAGAAAAUGAGUAGUUUUGACCUGUUGGAUUAAGAAUGCUCGGCUAGCUUGGUUUGGAAUUGCUAUCAUGAGAUUUAAGGCCUAUUGCUUUACUGAGGUGAGGGUCAAAGACUGGCAACACAAUCACUAGGCAGAUUGUGAAAUUUGCCAAACCGGGAGUUGAUGAAGCACUGUUUUGGUAGUCCAAUAUCAAUCGCAUUUGUUUGUUUUUUGUGUUUCCCAACCUCCACAACUAUUUAGGUAGUGUCAUUGGCUGUGACUUUUGAUAGACCUUUUAACAGUCGGAGCAUUUCGAGCCUUCAAGGGACGAUGGGUGACUUUUUGACUCAGAAAUAAUGAUGGACCUACAAGAACAGAUUAUGAAAAUCACUAUAUUUAUUACAAACAACAUGCCACAAAAUUGGUACCCAAAUACAACACAUUGUAGAAAUUUCAAAUAUCGGUUGGCACAUCUUCAAAUAGCUUAAGUAUCUCUUGAAAACGGUCUUAAGUAUCUCUUGAAAACGGUCAGAAUCUCACAUGAGAAGACAUGCCAAAGCAAGCACUACUAAGAAUAUAUUGAUGGCCAACCACAUGGGUAGAGACAGUCUCAUCCAAAGAAGCAACUCAGAAGCAAUAGUCCCGAAAAUGAUAUACGAGCACCGGUAUAUCACGUUUCGGCUCGAGGGUCUAGUCACUUGGAUAAAUGCAACAAGAUAGAUGAUUUCACAAAUGAUGUAAAAUUGUAGAGGGGCUCAAUGCUUCGAUAUGCUAUGAAUUGAAAUGUCCGAUGACAAGCAGUUUGAACGAGGUAAAGGUUUUAUGGAAUCUCUUGGUUGAGCCGAAACUUUCUUGUUGCCGAUAUUGUUGUGGUUGUCUGUUCUCCUUCUACCGGAUUAGGAAGAAAUCAAUUCGAAGAAAAACAUACUAAAAAAUAAAAGGAAAAAAAACAACUUGCUACGAAUCCAUCCUCUAAGGAAAGCCUUUAGAACAUAUUCAAACGAAUGUAUAAGGUAGUACCUUUCCGAUAUCACUGGGUGAUCGGCCAUGCUUUGGAGAUGGUGGAUCCGAAUUUCGGUUUCGGUCCAUGGGCGAAUUCCCCAAAAUCCUCGUUCGCACAUGGCAGGAUCAACGAAAUUUCGCUACCAUUUGAUCGUUUUAGAGAUCUAUUUGGCUGUGGAAAUAGGCUGAGGCUGCACGAUCCAUAAGUGCUGCAUAACAUCUAGUGAAGUGUAGGUGUACAUGUUGCAUGAGCCAACAUCAUAAGACAAUUUAUUAAACCAUGAGUUAAUAGAGUGCCAUCACGCACAAGGGCGUCGGGGGAUGAGAAAGGACCGGUUGCCACGGGCGGCAGCAUAAAAAAUAAAAGCAGCAUCGUCACCGGCACUUCGGUUCCAGCAAAUGAAAUGAAAAAUGCAGCUCCAUUUCCUUUGCGUAUACAUGGCUACCGUGUAGAAGAAUCACUGCGAAUUCAGAAUUAAAGGAACAUUGUGGUCGUCGAAAUGGUCUUGACAUUUGAAUUGCGGACACAGCGCUUGCAAGUUGGUUUUCUUUCUUUCUUCUUGUCGCGGAGAGAGGCUAUUUCUCUUUCCGAUUCUAUGAGGACGUAAACAGUAUGCGACUAUUCCUUAGCCGUGUGAGUAUACAAAAGUUCAGCCCGAUGGAUAAAAGCAACGCAUGUUUUCUUCGACGACAGUGAGUGCUUCUGCUUGAGUUGUUCUUGGAAAGGACUGGAUUGGAACCAUGGAGUAAGAAUACGAAGCCUUGUCGGAUGCUUGCAGUUAUCUGUUUCAAUUCCCUCGCUUGGGAUUGUUGUGACUAUAUAGGGCGUGUCUAUAUGGGCUCCUACAUUUUACUUAAUGCAAUUAUCGCAAUUGAUGCACAUUGACUUUUUUCUUUAGCCAAUAACAUCAAAAACUUUCACAAUAUAUAAACUUUGACGCAUAAACUAAUACAUAGCUCUUGUGAUUUUCUGAAAUUUGGAUAAUGUUAUAAAUUCAGGUAGGGAACUUUUUGCGUUGUGUCGAAGUACACACAAACAUGACCUUAAUACGACGGAGAGGUUAGCUUGAUUAUACUUGUCCUUUCUUUGAGAAAUGGUUGGCAUCCCAUUAUGAAAUUUUGAACUUUGUUGUAAUGGUGGAUUAGAUUGGUAAGCUAUGCAAGAAAGUUGUUUCGAGAUCUAGAAUGAUCUUGGCACUAUCGUCCAUGGUAAAUGCGAGGCUCACUCAUGUAGACAAAAGCUAAAUGACCAGCAUGGUGUUUAUGAUGCGGACGAAAGGAUCAAAUCAGUCGUUUGUGACCAUAAUAAGUUUAGAAAUGAUCAAGAUCUGGAUUUGAGUACCAUUAGAGUUUCAAUAAGUUUCAUCUUUCUGUUUGGUGUCCAAUGUGAUGUUCCGUAUUCUCAUUAGAGUUAUUAGUCUUUCGAUUACUCUUCUCCGUGCUUUUCGGUUGUGGACUCAGAUCAACUUGGCGUGUGUUACCAACCAUAAUUUUUUAGUAUGAGGGGGUGGGGUGAUGAUGUGAUGAAAAGCAUGUUUCCAACUUGCAAAACUGUCCUAAGACGACCAUAACAACAGCACUAAUCGGAUGAAAUUUGGAAAUCAGUAGAGCAAAGCACUUGGAAUAGCCUGGACUAGUAGCACCUUAGCCAUGCAAUAUUGCAAUCUAUGUUUUGAGGGGAGAGAGAGAAAAAAAAAAUAGAAUGGAGUUAAUAAAAAUCUUUUAGGCGUGGUUUUGAUGAAAUCAAACAAAAAAUAUUGAAAAUUUUCCAUCGUGUGAAUAGAAAAGACAUGUGAAAGGUCAAAAUUAAGGGAAGACUUGUGGACAAAAGGGUAAUGCGUGGAUGGCAAUUAAAGUAAUAAAUGAUUAUGUUAGCAUUAUUUUGUGAGUAUUUAUAAUAUUUUCAUUAAUUCACCUGGGCAAUAUCUCUAUUAUGUACUAGGUGAACGAGCAUGCAUCGCAUGGAUUUAAAAAUUUGACUUGUUUUAUUUUUAGGUUUGACGAAAUUUUUUGGUCAUGCAACACAAUAUCUACAAAAGUGACAUUUAACAUUUAUAUGAAAACUUCAAUUUUAGUUACUCAUAUUUGACUCGAUUUGGACCUCACUCAUUCCCAACCCAACCCAACUCAACUUGGACUUUAAUUGCAAAUUUUCUUCUUUAUACAUGGAAAAUGGCAUAACCAAUUAACACAAAAUAAACAUGAAAAGAAUUAGCAAAUAAGAAAUUACAAAAAAAGGUGACAAAUCAAUCUUUUAAAAUCACACUUCCUAUUAUUUCACCCGAUGCUAAAAUUUUGAAUGACCCUAAUAGAAGAGUUGGAGCCUAGAAAGAUACAUGUGAUGUAAACUUCUACUCUAUAAGUACUAAAAGAACUGAAAAUGCUUGAUGAUUUGAAAUUGUUCAUAUCUAUCAAGAUUUGUAGCAGUAAGACCGUUGUCCAACACCAUACACCUUGGUAAAUGAAGGAACUUGAAUGAUUUUUGGGUUUAACGGAGGUUAUUGGUAAAAUACUUGGACCGUCUAAGUCAAACUUCCAGAUGUGCCCCCAAGUUACAGCAACCAAAGAAAUGACGUGGCCCGUGAAUUCUUUCUUCUUCUUCAGCGCUUUUUUUGAAAAAAAAAAAUUAAAGUUUAACAGUUAUUUAUUAAAUAUUUGGUUUAGGGAUGAUUUAAGCUGUAAUUAAUCUUUCAAGGUGGUCUAUUUAUGCUAGAUGACCAUGGGUUGCCAGAAAUCUUUCGUAUGAUUUUUUUUUUGUUCCGCAUUUACACAAGGAAAUAUCAAAAUUUAAAACCGUCCAUGUAAUUUGUGACAAGUGAUCCAAAAAAAAAUUAUGAAUUUACCAAAAUAAAUUAUUAAAAUCACUCCCUACCUGGCUUUUUAGAUGUUCCUCGAAAAGACAAAAUGAAAAAAAGAAACGUGUGACUAGUAGAGAAGUGACGUUUCUAUAUAUUAACUUAAAUAUAAUCCGAGUCAAUUCCAUUUAAAUCAAGUUUUAGUUGGUCUUUGAUUUUUACAGCUCAUUUUAAUCAAUUCAUAAAAUUAAAGUGACUAAUUUAAAUUCAACCCGACGCAUGUGAAUUGAAACAUGGGUAAGUGGACCCAUUUUGUUACCUUUAGACGAAAAAAAGAACAAUUAGGCCAAGGAAAAGAUGAAAUGAUAUUAAAGUGACCGUGUACAUGACAGGGCAAUAAAGUAAGCUUCAGCAUAUUCAGAAGCGGCAUAUGUUAACCUUCUUUUUUCCCAAUAUCAGUGGUACUUACUACAAAUAGCAUACAACAAAAUUCAGAACAAAUAUAAAAUAAUCUAACUAAACUUGGGAAGAUAGCACAUCCUCGAAUAGCUGAAUAAUGUCUUGAAGGUAGUCGAAACCUUGCCUAAGCAGACUGAACGACGCCAAAACAAACACUAGCAAGCACAUAUUGAUGACUACCCAUAAAAUAAGAGACAGGCUCGUCCAAAGAAGCAAUUCGGAGCUGAGAGUUCCAAAAAUGAUAUACAAGCACCUGUAUAUCAAGUUUGGGCAAGCGGACCCAGUCACUUUUAUCAGCGCUAUGAGAUAAAUGACUUCACAAAUAAUAUAAAACUGUAGAAUUACGAAGCUCAACGUCUCGAUAUGCUGCAAAUUGAAGUGUCCGAUGACAAGUAACUUGAAUGAGGUAAACAUAACGUGGAAUCUCUUAGUUGAGUCAAAACUUUCUUGUUGUUCCUCAUGCUGUGGUUGUUCAUUGUUCCUAUAUUAAACGAGGAAGAAAAGAUAGAUUGGGAGGAGAAAAGAAACAGACUGUUUUAUCGCAUUCUUAAUAGAGAUAUGAAGAGCAUAUUGACACUAAUGAACUACAUACCUUUCUGGAGUCGCUGUUUGAUUCGGCAUGGCUGUGGAGAAGGAAAGCUGAGUGCAGGAGACCAAGGAGGAUUCGAAGAGCAGGAUGAGACUUUGCCGGUGCCCAGCCUCUCGCUCGAACGAUUUCUGAUCUCUCGCUUGCCGGUGCCCAGCCUCUGCGUGUUGAAGUAAAUGGGCGUGGUCGCGCAUUUUAUAGACAGAGUCCCCCGCGUGAGCUAAAAGCCAGAGAGAGAGAGGGGCAACAAUUUUUUGACUUUUGCAGAUCAUCCACGGUUGAGAUGAUGGGGGAGGGUGUGUCGCCAUCUAUCGCAACCGUGGAUCGUCCUCUAUCUCAACCGUCGAUGGCAUCCCCGGUUGAGAUAGAGGACCGUCGAGGACGCUCGGCAUCCACGGUUGCGAUAGAGCGUCCUCUAUCUCAACCGUCGAUGGCAUCCACGGUUGAGAUAGAGGACCGUCGAGGACGCUCUAUCGCAACCGUGGAUGCCAUCCACGGUUGAGAUGAUGGGGGAGUGUGUGGGUCCAAUGCCCCGCCAUCAUCUCAACCGUUGGUCAGCCGAGAAGCUGGCACAACCGUGGAUCUGAUCAACCGUUGAUCGCGCCCCACAUCAUGCCGCCCGUCAUCAUCACAACCGUGGAUCAGAUCUACGGUUGUGAUUAUUGGGUCCAAAAUGGCCCGUCCUCAUUUGAAAAAUGUCGCCCAUCGUCUCAGCCGCUUUCCCGGGCUGAGUUCAGUUGAGCUCGUCGCUUCCGAAGCAAAGCUCCGUCCCUCCAGUCCGUCGCCCUUGAUCGUCCUCCUUCGCGUUCCUUUUCAGUUAGCUCUCUCUUUCUCUCUCUCUCUCUCCGUACGUUCACAUCGUAACCAGCCUCACAGAGGUUUCUUUUUUUUUUUUGGAAGUUGUUGUUUGGCUAUCACAGGUAUAUUGAAGAGAGUCAGUGGAAGUAGCAUUAGGAACAAUGAAUGAAGUAAUUAAAGAAGGGGAAGAAGGAGAAGAAGGAAAAGUAGCGGAACUAGGAGAAGAAGAAGAAGAAGAGGAGGAGGAGGAGGAGGAGGAGGAGGAGGAGGAGGAGGCGUGGUCAUCGGAUUCAGAAAUAUGGAACGUGUAGAAAUGGUUGGAAUUGAAGGACGGCGGAGAAGCAGUGGACAGAGCCUCCCUUCCCAAUUCGCGACGUCCGAAUGCUUGCGGAGGGCUUCACACGCGUGCCCGGUGGUCCACUCUUCAACUCAUGUCCGGGCUUCCCCUUUGGAGGUCCCAAGACUCUUUUCUCUUGUUGCUUGUCUAUCCUUUUUAUCUAUUUCAUUUAACUAAUUCGCAAUGCCUGUAUGUGGUUUGUAGUUCAGAGGCAUGCUUGAUUCUUACAUGUUACUAAAUCCCUUAGACCAAUCUAUAUAGCUUGCCUGAGAAUGAAUUUAAAUGGUUCCUUUUUUGCUGUUGGGGACUAGAGAUUGUCUUCGAUGAUGACAACACACUUGUCUUGCCUGAAAUGCCUAGAGUUGCGUUCUCUUUCUUUUCCGGCUUGAAAUGCAUACGAUGAGCAGGGAGGUUAUAACAUCACAUUAUGCUUGAAUUAAUUGGAGGAGAAAAAUUGCGGCGACACUGUUACAACGAGAUUAAACUUUGAAGCAUAGGGUAGCAUCCUAAAUAUGCUUAUAUAUAAAAAUGAACAAGGAGGAGUUUUUAGAAAUAUACAAGGAUCGGUUUCUCUUUAUAUUGGCUGUUCUUUGGAAAGGGCUGGAUAAUCUAGUGAUUACUUUUGUACUGAUGUAGUGUGACUAGAGCAAUAUGCUGCUCAGAACGGUUGCUUUCCUAGAUCGCAUGGUGUCGAUGAAUUGCCCAAGAAGCUAAGACUUCUUAUUGAAGUUCUUAUAUCCUGCAUUCAUCAUGAGAACGAUUAUCUAUAGGUUUCACUAGCAUUUUCUAGAAUCUAUGUAUUGAGUGCUGAUGCUUAUCGAGUGACAGUGCCUGAAACAUAUACCUUGUCUGCACCCAGUCUACUUGUGGUAACAACCAGAUAAACAACACUACUGAAUCUCCCUUUGACCAUCUCCCGUUUCGGCCAUCUACACUUUUGAGUUUCACCAACCUCCAUAAUUGUGAUAGAACUUCAUAAGAACUUUAAAUUGUCAAACUUUUCCACUUCGCCAAAAAAAAAACAAAAAAGAAUUUGAAAUUCAUUCUGUCGUCAAUUUGGUUGGCACAUGAAGAUAACUUUAGAUUUCGAUAGUUUCUUUUUUGGGUCAGAACUUUUGACUUGAAUAAGCAUUUUUUAAUAUAUGGUGUACUGUUACUUUAUCUACCACUUCCUUCUGCAUCUAAACAUGUUUUUGUGGACAUUGAUUUGCUCUGUAGCUUCUUAAUGUGUUGCUGUGUAUUUGACUUGCUGAAAGAAUGAAUUGUAUGAACAAAAACUGCAGGAGUGGGAGGGAAGGGUGAAUGUUGGCAUGUCCAGCACACUGAGAGCUUCAAUUCGAGAAAGUGUACAGGACAUGACUAUAGUCAGAAUUAAAAGUACGACCAUGCAACUGUUGAGCAGGUAAAGUACAUUUUUGUCAAAAGAUUAAUAAGUUGUGUGCUAGGUAUUUUGGUAAAAAGUUUCCAUUAACAUUCUCCACGCUACAGUUGUAACAGCAUCCACAAUGAGGUCUCCUUAUACUAACUGUUAACUGCUGCUUGGAUGAUCUCAAGACAAUAUGUCCCCUGUAAAUAUGUGUCCGUUUUUAAUGAUCUAUUAGAAUUUUUGCUAAUAUCUUCAUUGGCCUCUCCCCUCUUGCUUUGCACCUCUAUCCCAGGGUCAAAUCUUCUAAACUCGGCAUGAAGAAUGAUUAGAGUUAAUUUUCAGAAUUUACUGUGCUUCAUGGAUUUAGAUAAAUGAACUAUAAUUAUUUUUAGUUAACCAUCAACCAUCAAAAGUUUUGAAGCUGAAAUGAACCCUCUUGCAAGCUUACUCUGUCUCUUUGCUAAAUCAUUAUCAUUUUGACUUAAUAAUAGUUGAGUAAACUCUUUGAUGGGUGUAUGCAUUGGUUCAUGCCCCCUCUCGCAAUAAUUGUACAGAAGUAAGACCACUUCUAAAAGUUAUCGCGGUUACAGUGCCCUGGUCCUGCUCCUAUUUUAACUGAAGCUAUCAAAACAUCUCUGACAUGUUCUUGUGGAAUUGGUUAUGUGGUUGUGCAGGCCAUUGAUCAGAGUAUUGGGAUGGUUCUCUUCAAGAUGCUUGACUGUCAAGUAUUUAAUGAUAUAAAUGGUCGCAUUUCCACUGGUUAAGAAGUAUGCUGUCAUCUACAGUAAGCAGUACUCGCUACUUCCUUUUUCUACCAAUUGAUUGUUGUGAAAGUUCUCUACAUCAUCGCAAUUUUACUUAUGAUUUGUUCGUAUUUUUGCUACAACUGCAUAGUCUGUUGACCCUUUGGUCGCUCUGACUUUUCUAGGCAAAUGUCUAUCUGCAACAAAAUCUUGUGGGCAAGAAUUGGCAAUUAAAGUCUUCAAGACUUCAGUGCUGGUGUUUAAGUAAGUGUGAUAGCUUUUAGUUGUUUGUAAGGCGCUUUCAUGGGUGUUCAAAAGUGCAAAACUGCAUUUCCCUACAAGUUUGUGAUAUUUAUUCUUUCUCGAAUUGACAAUUGAUAUACAGGUUCCGUUUGUUGUGAUGGCAGUCUCUGCUAGAUUGUGGAGAAUGUUGGCUUGUAUUGUUUGAUAGUUACUUCUUUUUUUGCUUACGGUAGGAGCUACUGUCAGUUUUUUUUCUUUAUUAUUUGGCCGAAGGGAGCUAUUUGUUUUCAAUGUGAUUUUACUUCAGUACAAGAAUAUUGAUUCUGUAGUGGUGUCUCGUGCAUAAAGUUUCAUGGUAGGUUUUCCCUUUCUAUUUCUUCUAUUUGUUAUUGUAUCAUUUUCUUCCAUUGUGGGAUGAGGCCAUGGACACUGCUUCCUUUAUGUAAAAGAGUUACAAAUCUGAGAUCUCAGGCAUGCUCUGUGCCAAGAAAAAGAUUCGCGACUAUAUCUGCCUGUCCUCUCUUCUUUCUUUCGUCUCGCUCUCCUCCAGUGUUAUGGGCCCUCAAUGCUUUUAAACACAGAAGUGAGAACCUUCAAUUCUUCUUGAUCAAAGCCUAUUUCAUCGAGUUAAUGAAGUUGAGUUGUUCUUCUGUUACCAAACGAUCUUAAUAUUAGAUGACUCCGAAGUUGAUAUCAUGAAAAUCUACAGAUGGUGGUCUGACUUCUAAGCCUUGGAGCUUUCCAGCCAUUUAUCUACCUAUAUUUGGAUGCCAAACCAUCUUGUAAUUUACACCCACAAACAUAAACCAUCUGAAGGGGGCUGUGAUGAUUGACUUGCACUCAACUCUGCAUCUCACCUGCUGGAAGUUCUCAAGUGAGGACUUAUCCAGAUUUGUUCCCUUGACUCAACUCAUGUCAUGCAACUCACUAUUGUCUUGACUGAUUAGCACCACGCAUUUAAUCCUUUUGAUACUCCAUCUGAACUGUUUUUCACCAUGCGCUGUAACUCUUAGCUUUCUUAGGUCUAUAUAGAUAGCAGUAGGUGUCUGAUGCUCUAUUCACUCAAACUUCAUACAUAUGGAACUAUCAUACUCAUCUGAACCUGGACCAGCAUUAACAUCGAGAAUAGUCCAUGGUGAGACUAAUAACUGUAAGGACAAAACAUCAAUAAACAGUACUUAUGAACAAAUUUUCUGUCUCCUUAGUCUUUUGGUUUGCCUUUAACCUUUGUUCUGGCAUUGAAAAAAUAGUCGGUCUAACAAGUCCUUUCUUCUGUCUAUGUUACUUCUUGAAUUUUAGGUAGUAAAUGAUUAUCAGUAUAGCAUCUUGCAAAGCUUUUGAUGCAGGAUCUAACUAUACUUAGUGUAUGAAUUUCCAACAGGCUAUGUACUGAGCUUUGAACUGUGAUGUUUUCUUGUCAUGCAAAAUAUUAUGUAACCCAGGGACCAAAUUUGCAAGGCACCUAGGAAUUACUAGAUCAAAGUGGAAGCCACUUGUGCCCACCGGAUGUUCAUAGUGCAUCUGCUUCUUGGUGCACCCAGUUUUUACUUCUCUUAGGAGACUUUUUCUUAUGGAAACCCAAUGCAUGUGCUUAUGAUGCCGAGAAAAUGCUUUACGCAUUGGCUUUUUGUUUUGCGUAGAGAUGUUAUAAUGCAGUCUACAGGGAGUAGCAAUCUAAAUUUGCAUUCUUCUUUGGAUGAGGUGACAUUUACGUUUGCUGGCAUUUAUACUGUUGCCUCAGUUAAUAACUGUUGAUUUAUGCUUUCUCUUUCAGUUAUAUAUACUGAAGACACUAGAUUUGGUGAAAAAUGUGGGAGAGGGUGUGAUUCGGGUAAUAACUAGGAAGGACACUGAAGAAAUGUCUACAAGACUAUUAUGGGGUUAUCUCAGGCUCUCACGAAGGGGGACACUAGUGCCAUAGAAAAGGCGACUGAUCCUGGCAAUAAUACUGUAGCUUGCAGUAGCGAUUCCGAGUCAGAUACAGAUGUAGAUGAAGAUUCAGAAGUAAAUGAGUCAGCUUCCAAAACCGAGGUGCAGGCUUCUGUUGACAAGAAGGCUUUUGGGAAGGAGAACAAAAAGGUCAAAGAGUAAAAAAGGGAAGCGAGGAAAAACAAAGUCUCCAAGGCUGCGAAGAAAGAAGGGAGAAGUUGGCCAAAGCCCAUAAGACUAGGAAGUCGGCCGUGGUAUUAAUAUACAUGUUUUUCGGCAUUACUCGAUAGAGAGAGUGAGUCACGUAUUGCAUAAGUUUAAUUUACCGGUUGUGGAGAAGGCUUUGCACUUUUCAGUAGUAGCCAACUUUUAGCUUAGAGUAAAGCCAGACGGAUAAGUUCAUGUUGGUCUUGUAUUUUGUCACGGUAUCAUUAUUAGAUGGUUUUGGUAUAUUGUUCCAAGAUGAAUUGUAUACCAGCUUCUUCUUUUCUGUUUUCUUCCCCUUCUUUUUGCCAGUUAUUAUAAGAAAUUGGUAGGAGUUGGCUAUGACCUAAUCGAAUCCCAGUUCCGACACCUUCUGUUGUGAUUCUAGUUUGAUAUUUCAACAUACUUUGGGUGCCGGGGUUGGUUUAUCGAAUUCUUGGCUGCCUUGUUUUGGGAUUGCUACCCUGAGAUUUUAAGGCCUAUUGCUUUACUGAGGUGAGGGUCAAAGACUGGCUAUGCGAUCAUGAGGCAGAUUGUCAAAUUUUCCAAACCCGGAGUUGAUUAAUCAUUGUUUCCGGUCUCUGAUAUCAAUGGCAUUUAUUCGUUUUCGGCGUCGCCAACCUCUUGACGACUAUACAGGCUGGGUCAUUGGCUAUGAGUUCUGAUAUAACCUUUUGACAGUUGGAGCCUUCGGGGACAAUGGGGUGACUUUUUGACUUAAAAAUAAUCAUGGUUCUACAAAAAUAGAUUAUUAAAAUCACAAAAUUUAUUAGAAACAGCAUACAGCAAAAUCGAUGUCCGAACCCAGCAUAUUGUUGAAAUCUCAAAUAUUGGUUGGCACGUUGUUGAUCAGCUGAAUAAUAUCUUGAAAAUGGUCAAAAUCUCGCGUGAGUAAAUAUGCCAAAACAAGUACCAGCAAGCACAUGUUGACGAUCAACCACAUAAUAGGAGAUAAGCUUGUCCAGAAAAGCAAUUGGGAAGCAAGAGUCCCAAAUAUGAUGGACAAGUACCUAAAUAUCAAAUUUGGGCUCGAAAGUCCGAUCAUUUUGAUUAAUGUUACAAUAUAGAUGAAUUUACAAAUGAUGUAAAACAGUAAAAUUGAGUGGCUUGAUAUCUUGGUAUUCUGCAGAUUGAAAUGUGCGACGAUGAAUAACUUGAGCGAGGUGAAUAUAAUGUGAAAUAUCUUGAUCGAGUCAAAAUUUUCUUGUUAUUGGUGUUGUUGUGGUUGCAUGUUCUCUCUGUACAGAAUUAGAAAGAAAUUACUUGGAAGAAGCAUCAAAUUCCAAGGGGGAAAAAACUAGCUACUAAUCUCGCUUUAAGUAGAGCUUCAUGAACAUAUUUAAACGGACGUAUAAGGUUAUGACCACAAAAAAAAAAACGAAUGUGUAAGGUACCUUUCAGGUCUUAUUGUGGAGACGUGGGAGCCGAAUGAAUUCUGGGAUUGUUUUCUACCUUUGUGAAUGAGAAGGGGUGGAGGCACUAGCAGUCGCUAUAUAUGUACAAUGUUUCCAGCCUACCUUCUUGACUUUUGCAAAAGUUCAUCCCUCAUGUCGUGCCACGUGGCAUAUCCUUUGAGCACGAAAUGAGGGACCAACUUUUGCAAAGGUCCAGAACCGGUAAAUUAUUUAGUGUAUUAAAUGCCAGGUUUCCAAUCUUUCUUUAUCUUGAAUAUUCUGCUCUGCAUUGGUUUACCGACGCAUUGAAUUGUCCGACAUUACGACAUCCUUUUUUGUCGGUGGGUCAAUGGAUGCAACAAUCUUUGGUCGUCGGCACUGGUCAAAUUCCUCAAAUUCCUUUUUUGCCCAAGGCAGGGAAAUAAAAUUUCGGUACUAUUUGAUCGUUUUAGAGAUCUAUCAGGCUCUGGAGAUAGGCCGAGGCUCCACGUUCCACAUGUUCCGUGUAACAUAUUAUAAGCGUACAAGUUGUAUGAGCCAAUAGCAUAAGACAAUUUGUUAGCCAUGAGUUAACAAAGUGCAUCAUGCAUAAGUGUGUCGUGGAAUAAGAAAGGACCUGUUGCCAUGAGCAACAGCAUUGCCAUCGGCACUUGGGUCCAGCAAAUGAACCGAGAAAUGCAGCUCCAUUUCCAUUGCGUAUGCGCAGCUACAGUGUAGAAGAAUUAGUGAGAAUUCGGAAUUAAAGGAACACUGUGAUCAUUGAAACGGUCUUGACAUUUUGAUUGCGGACACCACGUUUACGAGUUGAUUUUCUUUCUUUCUUCUUGUCACGGAGAGAAGCUAUUUCUCUUUCUAAUUCUAUGAGCUCAUAAACAAUAAUCAGCAUGCGACUAUUCCUUAGUUGUGUGAGCAUACAGAAAGUUCAGCCUGAUGGAUCAAAGCAAUGCACGUGUUCUUCGACGAUAGCGAGCGCUUUUGCUCAGAGCAUCCCAUGAGUUGUUCUUGAAGGGAUUGGAUUGGUACCAUGAGUGAGAAUAUGAAGCUUGCAAUUUAUCUACUUCAAUUCCCUCGCUUGGGAUUGUUGUGAAUGUACAGGGCAUGUCCAUAUAGGUUUUUAAUUUUUUGCUCAUUACAAUUGUCGCAAUAGAUGCAUAUUGACUUUUUUUCUUUAGCCCGUAACACCUAAAACUUUCACAUAUACAAACUUUGACAUGCAGAUUAAUAUACAACUCUUUCAUAGUUUUCUGAAAUUUGGAUAAAGUUUUAAUUCAGGCAGGAAACUUUCUGCUUUGUUUUGAAGUACACAAAAACAUGACCUUAAUAUAAUGCAAGGAUAGCUUGAUUAUACUUGUCCUUUCAUCGAGAAAUGUUUGGCUUCGGAAAUGUUGAACUUUGUUGUUGUAAUGUUGGAUUUAAUUGGUAAGCUAUGCAAUAAAGUUGUUUCCAGAUCUGGAAUGAUCUUGGCUUUGUCGUCUGGCCCGGCCUCUUCUCUUUCCCUUUACCGAGUGGCCUAUUUUCGGCACAUCGGGCAGGAGCUCGCUACUGUCUGGCGCAUGCGAACUCCGGCCCCGUCAACCCCGUCAACUCCAGAAAUCUUUUUUAUGAUACUUUUCCAUAAUUUUUUAAGAAAUAUAAUAUGUGACGAGUGAUCUCAAAAAAAAAAAAAAAUUAUGAGUCUACCAAAAUAAAUUAUUAAUAUCACUCUCUAUCUAGCUUUUUAGAUGUUCCUCGGAAGUAGAAAAAUGAAGAAAAGAAAAAUGUGACCGAGUAGCGUAAUAACAUAUUUAAACCUUAAAUAUGAUGUGACCUCCUUUCUCUUGCCUUCAACUUCUUGGAAGCUGCUCGAGGUGUCCUUUGAUUGGUCAGCCCUAACUUGCAAGAGAAGCAAAAUCGAGAUCACACCGAAAAAGUUCGGAGCCCGUUUUGCAUGAUGCAGCUGCUUCCUGGCAUUUAAAUCUUGACUAAGUUAUGAUCCCUCUUUCGUGUUUAGUCAUUUGAGCUCUUAGCUAUUUUUAGAGCUUGAUUAAACCGAUUUUCAAAGCCAAAAUUUUCUCUCACACAGUUGCUGUACAUAAGUAUUUUGAAAGAGAAUGAAUCAAUCGAUGAAGGCUUGUCUAAUCUCUCGUGGUGCCUUUAAGACAUCCUAAAACUCUUAUGGAGUCUUAAUGCUUUUCUUUUGAUGAUUAAAAUAAACAUUUUUUUCGAUAAAAAAAAUAAGGGCUUUUUUUUAAAAAAAAUUUAUUUCAAUCUCACGGGAGAUCUCAAAACAUGAAUAAAUACAACCGAAGUGUAGAUACUUCAUUUCCCAUGAUUUUUCUUUCAAAUCUUAUUCAUCAAAGGCACACCAUGUACAUUAUCAAAUGAUGAAUUCUCAUGUUAGAAAAAAGAAAACUAGCUAAGAGGUCUAGGACUUGGGGUUGAAAUUUCAUGUUGAGUUUGAUGGUUUUUUGGCGUUGGAAGGGAAAAAACAGGAGCUUUCUUAAGAAGGGAAAAAAACCGGUUUUAAAGCCAGCUCUUCUUUUCGGGGAUUGAGGAACCGAAAUUGAACCGGUUCGUCCGGUCGACGCCUGCGCGCCUUCGCUCCGUUCUCCUCUGUUCCCCAGUCUCCGCCCGUCGAGUCGCUCAGCUGCUUCCGUGGCGUUGACCUCAGUUGACCUUGUCGCUUCCGCAGCAAAAGCUCCGUCUCUCGAGUCCGUCGCCCUUGAUCAUCCCCCUUCGCGUCCCUAUUCAGGUAGCUCUCUCUCUCUCUCUCUCUCUCUCCCACCAGCUUCACGGAGUUAAAAGGAGGAUCAGUGGAAGUAGGAUUGGGAAUAGUGAAUGGAGGAACUAAAGAAGGUGAAGAAGGAAGAGGAGUGGAAGUAGGAGAAGAAGAAGACAAGGAGGAGGAGGAGGAGGAGGAGGAGGAGGAGGCGUGGUCGUCGGAUUCAGAAAUGUCGAACGCGCUUCCCCCUUUGGUCCUAAAAUUCUUUUCUCUAACUAUCCUUUUUAACUAUUUCAUUUAACUAUCCGCAAUGCCUGUAUGUAGUUUGUAGUUCAAAGACAUGCUUGAUUUUAACACGUUGCUUAGUCGCUUGGACCAAUGCAUAGCUUGCCUGAGGAUGAAAUUUGAUUUCUCCCUUCUGCUGUUGGCCAUAAGAGGUACAACGUGUUUGGCUUGCGUGAAAAGCCUGAAGUCACGGUUCUUUUUCUUUUCCGGCUUGAAUUGAAGGUAAGGGAGGUUUGAACUCCACUUUAUGCCAUUGUGGGAGAAAAAUGUGGCAACAUCGUUACAGCAAGGUUAAUCUUUGAAGCAUAGAGUUAGCAUCCUCAAUGGGUGGUGAAAACGGAUUGGAUUUUCAAUCUGUCUUCUUUGGGGAAACAGCGAAAGAACUGCUUCGAAGAACUUCUUAUUGAUAAAACUGAACAGGGAGGAGUUAUUUAAAAUAUACAAGGAUCUGUUUCUGUUUCUGGUGGCUGUUCCUCUGAAAGGGCUGGAUCAAGUGAUUAAGUUUUUACUGAAAUGCUGCUCAGAAUGGUUGCUUUCCUAGAUUACAGAGUUAUGAUCAAUUACCUGAGAAGCCAAGACAGUCAUAUUGAAGUUCUUAAAUCCUACCUUUAGUGCAACAACAGAUCAUUGAUAGGCUUCACUAGCAUUUUCUACAAUUGCUGUAUUGAGUACUGCAAUCCUUGAAACAGACACCUUGUCUGCAAAAGUUGUUCUUGUGGUAACAGUAAGAUAAACAACACUCCUGAAUCUCCUUUUCACUGUCUCCUCAUGUCAGCUGUCUCAACUUUUCAGUUUCACCAACCUCCAUAAUUGUGGUAGAACUUCAUAAGAACUCUCAAUUUCCAAAACUUUUCCACUCUUCACAGGAAAAGAAAUGUUGAGUUCAUGCUGUCAUCAAUUUGGUUCGCACAUUAACGAAAAUAUUUUAGAUCUUGAUGCUUUGUUUUGGGUUGGAACUUUUUGAUACUUGAAUAAGCAUGUAUUGACAUAUAGCAUACUAGCACUAUAUCUACCACUUCCUUCUGCACCUAAACAUGUUUUCGUGGACGCUGAUAUGAACUGUAUGAAUGAAUACUGCAGGAGAGGAAGUGAAGGGUGAAGCAUGAAUGUUGGCAUUUUCAACAC
Molecule: long non-coding RNA, 50595 nt
Filed under: Eucalyptus grandis
Lineage: Eukaryota; Viridiplantae; Streptophyta; Magnoliopsida; Myrtales; Myrtaceae
Description: long non-coding RNA (EGRA_LNC002721)
Source: RNAcentral